Molecule: long non-coding RNA, 65200 nt
Filed under: Malus domestica (apple)
Lineage: Eukaryota; Viridiplantae; Streptophyta; Magnoliopsida; Rosales; Rosaceae
Description: long non-coding RNA (MDOM_LNC009719)
Source: RNAcentral
GCAAGGAAGGGGGGUCGGGUAAGAUGAAGAUGGGUUUUUUUUUUCUCUCUCUCUUCUUCUUCUUCUGGGUUGCAAGUUGUAGGUUGGGGUUUUUUUUUGGGGGGGGGGGGGAGGGAGGGAGGGAAGACGACGUGGGGUUUGGUUUUUUUUUUUUAAUUUAUUUAGAAGAUUUAGGUUUUUUGAAAAAAAAAAAAAAAUUCCACGUGGCACAAAUGUGGCAGCCACGUCAGCAUUUAACAGAUUAAUAGAUGGAAAAUCUAACGGAUGUAUUAUAUUGAAAUAAAAUAGUACUUGAGGUUAGAAAGUGAAAUGUGUUGAUGCACAAAACCGAAGGUCUUUGAACAACGUAAAUCCGAUCGUGAAUAUGCAAGUAAUGUAAAUAACACAAGAUGUAUCGUGGUUCACUCCAAUGUUUGGGCUACGUCCACACUGAUUAUUGUAUUUCUCUGAGAGGUGAGGGGGAGAGCUUUGAGAAAGCUUAGAGCUUAGGGGAUGUGAGAAGGCUUAAGAAUUGGCCUCCCUUAUUUGUGAGGGUGAUGAGUCCUUUUAUAGAAUAAGGGAUCCUCACUUAUUACAUAUUUGCCCAUUCCUUUAUUACAUAAUUACAUUUAAGUCCCCUGAGUACUUGUACAAGGUCUAAAUACGGAGGCCCUAAGUAUGGUACAAACAGUAGUCCCCCAAGUCUUCAGUCAAGAGAGUCUUUUGGCUAGAGACUUGAAAUUCUGUCCAUGUGUGAGCCGAAAUAACUAGAUGUCGUCUAGAACUGAUAUUUGAUAUGCGGCAGUGCCCAUUUUGAAAUAAUGCUCAACUAGAAGUAGCACAUGCUGCGAGGCUGCUCUGCUUGUGUUGCCUUGGUUGGCUCGACUUGUGGCGUUGAAGGUGAGAGAGUCCCUUUUAUAGAAUAAGGGCUCGCUCCUCAUUACAAAGAUGAUGGGUUAGUUGGUGCUUGCGGUGAGGCGGAUGCUCAGCUGGCGGCGAUGCUCUCUAAUGAUAGUGAGGGAGUCCAUUUUAUAGAAUAAGGGAUCGCUCCUCAAUACAUAAAUAAUAGGUGCUCUCUAAUGAAAGUAAGGGAGUCCCUUUUAUAGAAUAAGGGCUCACUCUUCAAUACAUAAAUAAUGGGCUAAGUCCCCUAAGUAUUUUUUAUGAGGCCUAAUUGAGGCCCAAUAUAUGGUACAUAAUGUAGUCCCCCAAGUCUUCGGUCAAUAGAGUCUGUUGGCUGGAGACUUCAAAUUGAAUCCAUGUAUGGGCCGAAGUGGCGGUUGUUCGGAAGCGGUAUUUGUAUACCCUGCACUGAAGCUUUAUAGGUGAAGCUUUGCAAGUGAAGCUUUGAAGCUGGAGCUCAGUAAAUGAAGCUUUUGAAGCUAGAGCUUUUGUAAAUGAAACUUUUGAAGCUGGAGCUCUAUAAAGGAAGCUUUUGUAAAUGAAGCUUUUGAAGCUGAUUCACAUGAGUGAUGCUCAUGAAUGUUUAUGUUGAUUGAUAUGAGUGAUGCUUAUGGAUGUUGACAUGAGUGAUGCUCAUGGAUGUUGACGUGAUGCUCAUGAAUGUUAACAUGAGUGAUGCUCAUGAAUGUUUAUGUAUGAUUGAUAUGAGUAAUGUUCAUGAAUGUUUAUGUAUGAUUGACAUGAGUAAUGCUCAUGUAUAAUUUGAAGUACUGGGCAUACUUUUGAUUACCUGGUUGGCGAUAAUAGCGGCAGGGUGCCGAAUAAUUUUUUGUAGUACUGGGCGUACUUUUGGUCACCUGGUUGGUGAUAAUAGCAGCAGGGUGCCGAAUAAUUUUUUGUAAUACUGGUCGUCCUUUUGGUCACCUGGUUGGUGCUAUUUUGAGCUUAUGGGCCUUCGCCCUCUACACAACAUUCCAGCCUAUUUAUUUUGGGCUUUACCGUUUUUUUUAAUUACCCUAUGAUGGGGUUUAUACAGAUGUCUCCGAAAGAUAUGAAAAAUAAAUUACAUCAUUCAAAAAUAAAUCCGACCCUCUGCUCAAUGGGUCACGCCAAUAAUUCUUUUUUUUUAUGCAUGCCAUCACCACCGCAAUUAUGUCUGCUUCUUUUUAUCUUCUUUUGCUUUCUGCUUUUGCUUUUACUUUAUCUUUCUCUUUUGGCAUAUGGCAGACAACGCCAAAACGGAAUAAUGAAUUAUUAUGAGAACAUGAAUCUUAUCUUUUGCCUGGUUUUCCACUAGUGCUCGUGGUAUUCUCAGGAGAUUGGAUCUGGGGGUAGGCGACUACCCCAGCACCUUGCCCUGAUACGUAAUAGCCUGAUGUCCCACUGCCAUCUCCAUACUGGAAGGUGUACGAACAAUGGUUAUUCUGUGUGGAACAAAUAGAAUCCGAUUGAGAUUCAAGACUGCACCUUCGAUCUGAGCAAGAAAUGAAUUGUGACGUUGAUGAACUUCUAGGAGGAGAAGCAGAGGAUCUUUGACUAUGAUGAUCUUUGAAUUCCAGAUGAAACUGAAUAAAAUGCAGGUUGUGGAGCUUGAUGUGGGCCCAGAUCUGCUUGACAGCUUUGGGGCGGGAGGAUUCCUUGACACUGAGGAAGAUUCCCAGAGCUGGAGGGAUGAGAAUCGACUUCAUAAUCCCGAUGGUGGGUUUGUGCUUGGUCGAAAGAUCAUUUCUGGCAGGGGAAAACAUGUACCAUACCUAUUGCAAAUCUUGCAAAUUCUCUGCUUCUCCAUGGAAGAUGAAGAGCAUCGAAUCUCUGUUUUCUCUCUCUCUCUCUAAAACGUUUUCGUUAUAGAGUGCCCCAAUAGAAGUGGACGGGCAGUGAGCAUGCCAUUUAGUGCCUCCUCCAAGACAGUAACUGAUACGGUGGUCUUUAUUGGCACUCCAAGUUUACUAAAAAGGGCAGCAAAAAUAGUAUUUACAGCACCCAAACUUGAAAGAUCUAGCUCCAACUAGUGGCUUUCUGUUUCAACAGCCUGAAAGCCGGCAGUGUCAUACCGACGCCGUUUGUCUGGAUCAAAUAAUAUAUUAUAAGAAAACAUGACCUUCUUGAAGAUAUCAGCUGUUUUAGAGUCAUUAGCAUUUUUGUCAGGAUGGUACUUGAGAGCCAUUUUCCGGUAAGCACUUUUGAUUUCCUGGUUGGUGGAAUUCCUAUUGAGGCCGAGGACCGCAUAAGGGUUUUGUCGGAGCUGCUUCUUAGCUUCUUGCUUCUCCGAUUUUGAUCGGCUGCCCUGCAUUUUUGAAAUUGACGGUCAAUUUCUUCACAAAACCCUAGAAAUUGCCUCUCGAUUACCUCCGAAACACAUAAUUCACGACUCUUGGUUGAAAUUUUUUUUUUUCAUUUCAAAGAAGUGGCGGAGGUAAAUCAGUUGUCACAUAGCACCGGAGCAUGAGGAAAACCUAGAAAACCAAGAGGCAGAGAGACUCCAUGCACAUCUAACCUGGAACCUUGCAGGAGAGAGCAGAGAGAAAGAGACAAGAAAGAUUGAGGGAGAAGCGAUCUUGGUGCAUCGUCUGUGAUUCCUUGGUGAUUUGCUCGAUCGGGACUCUGAAUUCGUGCAAGUCAUUGCUGUUAAGCAAGAAUCGCGAGGAGUCGGAGAGCUUGGAAAUCGAGAAGGAGAGAGGGCCUUUAGUCAGGGCUUGGAGGGUGUCGGACUCCGUCGGCCAAGAUUGGUGCACGGUCACGGCGUCUGGGCCCAUGGCGGUUGUGUAAAUGGGGGAGGUUCUAGGAGUCCAAGAAAGAAGAAGAAGCAGCGACCAUAGAUCUGGGAGUCCAUGGCGCUUGAAAGAUACGGCGAACAAGUCGGACUUGCUGCUGGGCAGCUGGCGGUGAUAAUGUUGGUGCAUGGGUUUUGGAGUGGGAGUGUUUGGAAUGGGUUUUUUGUUUAGUUUCUAUGUGUUUUUUCACAGAGAGAGAGAGAGAGAAGUGAUGGUGUUUAAGGGAUGAGUUUUGGAGCUUAGUGAAUGCUUUUUCUGGAAAAGCCCAGUGAGGUUUGUGGGUUUUUGCAGAUUUUGCAGAUUCGCGGUGGAGGUGAAAGAAUGAAAGAGAACCGACACAACUUUUCGUAUUGAUUCCCACAUACGGCGCCAAAUGUUGAUGCACAAAACCGGAGGUCUUGGAACAACGCAAAUCCGACCGUGAAUCUGCAAGUAAUGUAAAUAACACAAGAUGUAUCGUGGUUCACCCCAAUGUUUAGGCUAUGUCCACACUGAUUAUUGUAUUUCUCUGAGAGGUGAGGGAGAGCUUUGAGAGAGCUUAGAGCUUAGGGGAUGUGAGAAGGCUUAGGAAUUGGCCUCCCUUAUUUGUGAGGGUGAGAAGUCCUUUUAUAGAAUAAGGGUUCCUCACUUAUUACAUAUUUGCCCAUUCCUUUAUUACAUAAUUACAUUUAAGUCCCCCGAGUAUUUGUACGAGGUCUAAAUACGGAGGCCCUAAGUAUGGUACAAACAAAAUGUUUUAAAGAUGUUGUAUGGGGUUGUAAUAGACCUCAAACUUGAGGGGUUACUAUGUAAUUUACCCUUAAUUAAAAUAAGGGCAAAUGAAGAGGAUGGUUGAACUUGUUAAGUUUCUUAAGUGUGUCUAAUUUAAGUGUGUUGUUAAUAAACAUUUAUUAUGGAGGCAAAGAGAGGGAAGGUGCGGCAUAGAAAGAGAAGAGAGAGAUAUGUAAUUGUGAGUUGUGUUUUAUUCCAUCCCAUUGUGCAUUUAUUUAUAUUAGUUGGGAAAGUUAAUUCUUUAACCUUUUAGGAUUACAACUCUAAUAGGAAAAUAUAUAAUCUAAAAGAUAUGGUAGAAUCCCAUAAGAAUAUCCUAGAUAUGUUAGGAUUUACACAAUCAUAUUCCUAUUCCAAUAGGACUGCAAAACAUUUGUAUUUUUUUAUAAUUUUUUUGAUAAUUUGUUGGCAUUUUCAAUUUUUGUUAACAUUGAAAAUAUAACGGUUCAGAUGAAAAACCUUUGGAAAUCCAACAUUGAAAAUAUAACAGUUUGACGUUGGGCUGUGGUGAAGGAGGCUGGGCUGUCACGUGGGUGGGGCCCUCCCUCUCCCACUUGGUGAUUCAAAGGGCGCAGGCCCGUGCAACAAUUGAGGCAGCCCAUAGAGAUCCUGCGUUUCACCCAUUUGCCAUUUUUUCCACCGCUGGAGCACCAAAAUUCGGUCCAAAGGCAGGGGUUCCAAUUGCAUGGGCAAUUUGGUUUCCGCUGGAGGUGCUCUUUGUCGACUUUGUUUAUUCUUUCUUUUUAGCUUUGCAGUAAUAUUGAAGUAAUCACUCCAAUUGUAUCCGAACUUUUGUUGUCCAUCAAUUUGUAUCAAAACUAUUGGUUAAUUUACAUAUUCAGACUAACCUUCUCAUUAUUUUUAGUAUUUUUAUCAUAAAUAAUAUCUAAAAUAAUCACAUUUUAUUCAACAACCACUCAAUUAAAAAUUAAUUAAUGUUGUUUCUAAACCAUUACAUCGAGCUUUUGUAAAUACACAUCAAUAUUGCAGCGAUCCGAGGCAUUGUUUUCUACGCCUUGGAUUUGGCGAAUUGGAAAAGAGAAGAGUUACGAGUAAAAGUCCCUCACAUUAAGAGGGCUCCUCCUCGGGGAGAUGAAGAUGAUGAUCUUUUGUUUUUGUUUCUUAAUGAUUAAUCCACGCAGCAACAUAUAAUUAGAUUGUUGGGAUCUACUCAAGUUCCAUAUCACGCACUAAUAUAAAGUUUGACAAACGAAACGAAAUAUGUGCUCUCGAAAGCAAAAUGAGGGCACUGCUCCAAGAACAGGAAGGGCUCCUUGUCGAGGUUGCCAUCCGCCAUGAGGGAAAACCGGAAGAAGUUAGACAACAAUGAUGACAUCGAUUUGCAACACCCAUAUUGGGACAUCAAACUGUGAAAUAAAUACUCAAAACUCCUGGAAAGUCCUCGGGACAACAAACUUUUAUCUCCUUCAAAUAUUUCAUUUUACCAAGUUUUAUGUUUGAAGGGAGGGAAAAAAAGAGAUGAGAGAAUCCUACUCCUUAUUCUUGAAUAUAUUCAGGAAUAACUAUUGAAUAAAGAGAGAAUGGAAGGGGAUCGAAAGAGGAGGGAAGAUAAUUCUAGUCCCAAACAUAAAAAGGACCACAACUUUUAAAUUAUCAGCACGAUCAUCAUCUGAUUGAAGAGACCAUUCAUUGUGAAACAUAUCGUCAAUCAAUAUGUCUAUAUCUAUUUAUAUACCACAUUUUUGGAGUAGGAUUCUCCCCCCUCCUAUUACCAUCCCCUUCCAUCCCCUUCCAUCCCCUCCUUUCAUACUUUUUUUUUUCUUAUUCUCUAUAUAAAAAAUUCAAAACAAGAUGUAGAUGUGUCGUAAUCGCAAUAGUUUAAAUAAAAGGAGAUGGAAGGAGAGAUAAAUUACGAGGGGAGAGAAUCUUACUCCCACAUUUUUCUUCUUCAUAAACAAAAGAGAGGUUCUAGAUUACUUGACUCUAUGCCUCAUUUUUUUCAUCAAGUAUUUGUGCUAAACGGGUUCAGUUUCAAGUAUUUUAGUUUUUUGUCAAAAUUGAGAAAACUGAAAAUCAAACAUUAAUAUGCAAAAUUAAAAAAUCAACACAUAAUUAUUUAGAAAUCGCAAUAGAAAAGAAAAAAUGGAGGUUUGUGAUGAAAAAUCUUUUAUACUAAGUAAUUUAGUAUCCUUAUGCAUGAAGAUAAUCAAUUCGUUCGUUAUGGUCAGACUCUUUUUGAAUUUUUGAACACAUUCUCCAUAGGGCCUUCUUAUUUGUUCCUUCUCCGAGUUGGGGUUAUGGAAGAAGUAAAAGAAGGAACCAAGAAGAAAGUAUUGGCAACAACCGAUUUCGUUACGGGACAACUCUUGAUAUUCAUAUCGAUCUAUUAUGUACCUUUGCAUCUAGCAUUAGACAAUAACUGUCAUAGCUUUACCAUAUUUUUUUGUUUCAUUUCUUCUGAAACAAUAACACACACUUUUUUAUUAUGUGUCUAAUACUAGGAAUUCAAUACAUAAUCUUAGCAUUCAAUAGUUAUUCCUGAAUAAUUUCAUUUUUCAAUUGAUCAACCAUUUCAUUUUUCCAAGUUCAAUCAAUGUUAGUCACAUUAGUCAACAUUUAUAUAUUUUGAUGCAACAACAAUAUGUUAUUUGUAACAAGUGAUUUUGCUAGUUGGUUAAUUGGUCACAAGUUAAUGUUCGGUUCAGUUCAGCUUUUCUCUCGAUUUUUUGCGAUUCGGUUUUUUCGAUUCUCUUUAGAUUCGGUUCGAUUUUGUUUUUUUAUUUAUACUUAAUUUUUUUUAAUCUGAAAACACCAAGAACAACACAAGCAUACUCAAUCAAACAACUAUCCUUCUCCACAAAUCACAGUAAUAAUUACAUUCAUUUAGCUAAAAUGCAAAUAACUAACAAACUCACAAAAAUCGAAUAAAAACUACAAAUUGCUUACUCUUUUUCUUUGGGUUUCACUCGAAAAGUGUCGGUAAAAUUUAGGGUUUGCAAGAACGCAACCGAAAUCCAAAACGGAGGCUCUGUGGCUUGUGGGCUGCUAUUGAGUUCCAGUACGGAAAACCUUGCUUACUCUCUAUCACGGUACAAAGUAUCAGUACCUUUAGCACUGUAUUUGGUAGAACCAAAUUAAAAGCUAACAUCAAUAACAACUACCAGAGACAUAAGCUCUUAUCAAUGCUUUGGAAACAGUCAUGUAUCUCCAAGUGUAAUGAUAUAAUUAGUAAGAAAUUUAAAAGAAAAAUGGUGAUUUCAUAUAAAAUCAAUAAAAAGUUACAAUAUUGACAAUAUAUCAACAAUUUUUAUGGGGUAAAUUACAUAGGACCCCCUCAGGUUUGAGGUCUAUUACAACCCCAUACAACAUCUUUAAAAUAUUUCACUUUCAUACCUCACCUACUAUUUUAUUUCAAUAUAGUACCUCCAUUACAUUUUCCAUCAAUUGAUCCAUUAAGAGCUGAAUUGGUUGCCACAUUUGACACGCCCCGAUCCCGAUAUCCUCGGGAUAUCAGGAUGGUCACGUGCUGGCCGACACCCGAGGGUGACGAAAGCCAUUUAUUGAGUGCAAUUGCUGAAAAUAAAGGAUAGAUAAAACUUAUAAAUGUAAAAGAAUAAGGAAUAUGCAUUUAAGGAACGUGUUCAGAGCAUACAACUAACUAGAACACUAAAAGAAUGAUAUAAAAUGGAAUGAAUAAAAGAAUGAGUCUUACACCAAGAGGACUCGAAGAUGCCGAUGCGGAAGUACCUUGAUUGUCGGGAUUGUACGCCUCGAUCCUAAAUCCUGAAGGGGGCGCAAAACAAACAUGAGUGGACCAAGUUGAUAUAUAUAUAAUAAAACAGUUAUCAAUAUACUAACCCCCAGGUUUAUGAAAACAAAUAUAUAAUGAUGAACAUAGGUUUUCCGAAACCUAGCAUGAUGUGCAGUAUCUCAAAUCAUAACUCAUAUAUAAUAAUCACUAGUGAAUUGUCCGAUAACCUGCAGGCCCCAUGCCGGCUCCCCGUCUCUGAGCAGACAGUCAGAGGAAAAUACACUUCAGGCCCCAUGCCGGCUCCCCGUCCCUGUGCUAAAUAGCCAGAGGAAACACACUCCAGGCCCUAUGCCAACACCAAACCGUCGCCCGGGACGGACCGGAAUCUAUUCCUACGUCCCGUAGCGGAAAUGACCACUAGGUAAGUACAAAACCAUUGAACAUACAUAUAUUGAAAAACAACUUCAUAGUAUAAAGUCAUCCAUCAUCUAUACUAUAAAGAGGUGUUCGAAACAUGUUCUAAAUAUCAUAUCGUCAUCCAUCAGAUAUUCUAUAAGAACACGGGUUAUAGGAAAAAUAGUAAUAAUUCAAGGUAGCCUCAGUAAGCAUGUUAUCUCAAAACGUUUCAUAAAACGUAAUCAUUAAAUCAUGCAUUUCAUGUAUGCAUUUCUACUAUUAAAACAUGCUUUUGAAGGGGUCCACUCACAGUACUUAGCCGCCGAAGAGCCACGCAAACUAACGUCACCAAUAUUGCCCCUAAGCACAUAAAUGGUCCAAUUAAUAAAACUAUAUAAUAGCAAUUGGAUUUGGGAAAACGGACGUUGGAAACGGAUUCAGAACGUCGAAUUACCCUAAGAAGGGUCCCGGACGAAAACCCGAAAAGUCAACUCUAAAGUCAAUGUUGACCGGAGGUCAACGGUCAAAUUAGGUCUAACGGGUUUUAGGCUUGAAAUCCGGAUUAGGGUUUAGGUUAAAUAGGAUUAGGAUUUAUUGGGUUUUGGAAUUCUAAGGUUUUUGGGUUAAAAGGGUUUAGGGUGAAAAUGGGUGGUUUGGGCUUAAUCCCAAACUCACACACAACACACACACACACUACACAAACCCUAAAACACACACACACACACGGGCUGCACUAGGGCAGCCCUCACAACACUUCACAAAGGCCCUAAGGCCUUAUUAAAGGACAGGGCUUUAAGCCCUUUAAAGGAUACUGGCCCAAGGCCCGUCAAAAUAAGGCCCGAGGCCUUUGGGUUUUAAAAAGAACAAGAACAAAUUUAAAAGAAAAGGGGCUGGGGUCUACUGGGCUAAGAUAUAACGGGCUUAAGGCCCGUGGGGUUUUCUAAAGGGCCUGAGAGGCCUGGGUUUGUCGAAGGAGAAGGCCGGAAUUUCGGCCGGAAAACCACCCAACUUUAAAUGGCCAUAACUUUGUCAAUACUCAACGAAAUCAAGCAAGACAAAAAUGAAAGUUGUAGCCCUUGAAGCGACGAAGAGAAUGGUUCCUCACACGACGUCUAACUCGCCGUGGUUUGGCCGGAAAAUGCCUCGAAAUCCGUCGGACUCGCCGGAAACUGGGUAAGAUUCAAAUGAGUAUAACUUCUUCAAUACUCAACGAAAUUAAGUGAAACAAAAAGGAAAGUUGUAUUACUCGACGAGACGAAGAGAUUGAUACCUUACACGCCGGCCAACUCGCUGUGGUUUGGCCGGAAAUGGCCUCGAAAGGGGCGGUGCUCGCCGGAGCUUACUCCGUGCCGUCGAACUCGCAGGGUAGGGUCCGGGGUUCGUUGCAAGCCUCUCUUCGAUGGUGACUCGGUCCUAGUGAGUCCAGGGGAAGAGAGAGAUGCGAAAGGUUGAGGGAGAGAGAGACGGGAGAGCUGAGAAAGAGAGAGCUACGGGAGGGAGAAACGAAGAAGAAGAAGAGAGAGAUCAGAAAACAUAAAAAAAAUAAACAAGGUGGGCCCCACGGGCUCACCAAUUAAGGCUUUAAAACAAUUUUAAAAUAUAAAAGAGGGUUGGGGUGUUUCAACAUUUGUACCACGUGGCAAAAAAAAAACCUAAAUCUUCUAUACAAAAAAACUAAAAAAACCAAAAAAAGCAAAAUCGAACACUCCACCCCGCAAAAAUCCUAGCAUCUUCCUUUUAUUCCCCACAACCCCAAAUUCCCCCCCAAAACCCCUAAAACCCAAACCCUAAUUCCUCCCCCACAUGAAGAAAAUCCCAGUCCAAUUCAAUCCCAAUUACCUCAAAUCCCACCAUAGAAACCCUAAAUUUUGGUUCCUCAAUCCCUAGAUUUCCCACGCCUCUGUUGCCUACACCUUAUCAAUCUUUAGCUUUCUCCCUCAUCCCCUCCAUGAACGACACUUUCUCUCAUCCGCUGUUCCCCAGCAACGGCACCGAUACCUACGAGGCCUGGUACGGCAACAUCCAGUACCUUCUCAACAUCUCCGCCAUCGGCUCAUUCUUAUGUGUCUUCUUUUUCACCUUGGUCAAGCUUUGAAGCGAUCGCCGCCGCAUGCCCGGCUCGUCCUCCCUCGUUGCUAAGCUCUUCGCAGUGUGGUAUGCUACCUGUCGAGAGAUUAUGCUCCCAUGUGGCGCUGAGGCCAUAAUACUCACGCACCCAUCUACACACCCACACCACCACUACCGUGGACUCUCUCUCACUCUCCCUCGUCUUUGUAGAGCUAGGUGAAGCCUAGAAACCGAGAACUAGCUCCAGCAAACCCCGUGAGUUUCGAGCCAGAUCCCUGCCGACUCCGACCAUCCCAUGACCAAUCUAAGGUACAAAACAUUUCCCCUUGACUCUAUGCUCUUUUUCGUAUGUAGAUCGUAGGGAAAAGCCCACAGAAUGAGAGAGAAUAGUGACCUGAGAGAGUCCACGGUGAUGGUGGUGUGUAGAUGAGUGCGUGCGUGGGUGUACUGUCGGGGAUAGAGUCUGAGAGAGAUAGAGAGUGAAAGAGUCUGAGAGAAGAGUGACUUGCGAGAGUGAGAGAUUCGAGAGAGACUCGGGAAAAGAUUUAUGGGUUUGGGUUUUUCUGGUUUUUUAUUUUUAUAAUAAUAGGGUUAAUAUUAUAAUAUUUUUAAUGUAUAAAAAUUUCUUUUUUGCCACGUGGCAGCCACAUCAGCACAAAUGUGGUAGUUGUAGAUGCAAAUUUCUUCCUCUUGAUCUUGGACAAUUUUGCACCUACAAAACAAUUAACACCUUAGGUUAAGGCCAAAAGCCUCACACACCCACAAUGAAUGGGGGGCUUUGGCCGAAGAACCUCUGUUGCCAAAGUUAGAAUUUAGAGAGAAAGAGUCUUUACAGAAUUUUGGGAUUUUUGCCAAAGUGUUGGAAUGGCUUUCUGGUGAGAACGGGAUCACUUUUAUAAGGAUAGGAAGUGGUCGGCCUAGCUAGGGUUUUUGGGUUUAAUUUAGGUUUAAUUCUUCAAUUUAUUUGGCUAAUUAAACCCUAAAGAAUAAAUUGGUGGUUACAAAAUUGAUUAUUUGUAUAAAUGGGGUAAUAAAAUGGAGAAAAGUGAAAAAGGUUAGGAAAAGGGAGGUAGCUAGCUUCUUAGUAGUUUUAGGUGUGAGUGGGUGUUUUAAUUGAUAAUUAAGGGAUUGAUUAGGUAAUUAAUCCCUUAAUUAAACAAUUUUUAGGGAAUAUGAAAGGAAAUUAUUAUUUAGCUAAUUGAUUAGCUAAAUAAUGGAAUACAAAAUAUAUAGAAUAAAUUAGGCUUUAGGUAUUACCUUAUAGAAAUGAUUUGAUGAAAUAGGCUUUAAAUUGUUAACUAUUUUGGGCACUUUUGACUUGGUUGAGGAUGAUUGUCUGCCGCUCGCACGUAGGAAUCUCGAUAUGCCUUAAGGGUAUUUUUGUCCUCUUUUACCCAAAAAUCCACGUGUCGCCUUGUGAUUAUUUUUGGCUCCACAAAUGCCCCCACACCUGUUGGGCUGCUCGCAGAAAAUGGCAGCAGGUGUAGAGAUCAUCUUGCUUUAGGAAACGUAGGACUACUUCCUCUUUAGAUGUAGAUUCUCUCUUUAAUAGGAAAUUAGGUUCUUCUAGGAAAGGGAAAUAAAUUUCUGUUAAAGCCUAUUUAAGUCUACCUUAAGUGGGUUAUUAAAUCAACUUUGGAGAGCGAUUUCUUAUACCCUACAAGAGAGAGGGAGCUUAGAGAAUAUUUGUUCCCCCUCUUCUAGCAAUCUUCUACAUCUUUCCCGUGCAAAGGAUCGUCUUUCGUUGAUUUCUUCGUCUUCUCCGUGCCGCACCGAUGUAAGAAAAAUUUAAUUUUUUGCUUAUCUUCUUCUUGGAUAGUACUAUUACAGGGCAACCGUUAAGGUAGUGCGGCACGUCUACUGGCAGGGGCUAGGAGUUGGCUCGGCAUCGGUCGAUGAGGCAUUAUGGCAGGGGCCACUGCUUAGGCUGUUUGGCUUGGCUAGAGCCAAUGGCAGCUUGUGCGGCUGGGGUCGCGGAUUGUGGCGUUGGGGCGCAAUGCUAGGCGAGCCACAUGGUUAAUGUCCUUUAGGCUCUUAGACCUUACUCGGGCCAGGCUAGCGACUGAAAGAAAUGAGGAGGUCGUGGGCCUCAUGGGUUGUUGGAAUGUUGGGCAUGCAGGCCUCCUGUCUGCUAGAAUGCUAGGUUGAGCUCCUCUGCUGAGUACCGUGAAUGGCGUUGGCUGCUUAGUUCUUUUUACAGAGAGAAAGGUGGGCUGCUCCCGAAAGAGGAAGUAAAGAGGAUCAAGGUGGAUGCAUUGGCUCGUCUAAUCGCUGUCGUGGAACCUCCUAUGAAUGAAGAUGGAAAUAAGAGAUCUUCCCUGCCUACUCAAGAGAUGCCGAUCGAGAAAAAUUGAAGACUUUCUCCACUGCUGCUCAUGAUGAUUUGUCUGCUGUCGAUAGGCCUGUGAUUGGCAUGACUUCUUCCAAUGGGAAGAAAAAUGAGGCUGCUAGAUCUGAUCAUGUGGUGCCUUCCAUGUUGAGAAUUGCUAGUACAAUUGUUGAUAAGAUUGCUUAGCGCAAAGGUUUUAUCAUGCCCCCAGUACCGAAGUCUGUACCAGGACUUUCGUUUGGAGCAAAGUCUGGUUCACCUUUGGAGAUACUUGCUAUUAUGAAAAGUGGUAAGGUGGACUCUGCUGCUAAAGUGGCGUCAAGGCCCACUCCCUUUGUUGCUGAGACUGAUUCGCCUGCUAGGAAGGAAGAUACUACUUGUAUGGGCAGCUGUGAGAAAUCCACUAAACUUGCUUCUGGGGAGGCUGCUGAGAUCAUUGUGCUUUUGAAACUAUAUCUGCUUGAAGACAUGGACGCUUGUGCCAAGUUUGUUGAUGGCGGUAGAAAGGUUGUUUACCUAAGUUCCUUUGCGAAACAUACGACCCAAUAUAAAAUGACUGCUCUGCUUACUAGGAUGCAUAAAUAGCAAGGUUGUCAAGGAGGUGGCGAAGAUUAUGGCAGCUAAAGCUUAUUCCUCAGUCGAGGAGAUCAAAAGGUUGAAUUAUGAGCUUGUUGCUUUGAAAGAAAUGGAAGAACUGCAACACGUUCGUGUUAGUCUGUUUGAGAAGAAUGAGCAGCUAAACGGUAAGAAUGAUGGGCUUGAGGUUUCUCUAUUUUUCCGGAAGACUUGCUUACUUUUACUUUUGAGGCUUCCAUUGGUGAAGUAGUUGGAGACGUUAGUGCCCAGGCUUAGGCAACCGGGGGUGAAGCACCGGAUGAUGCCGCUGCUAAGAACGUUACGGCUGCUGAAGGUGUGGAGACCAAGUAGUCGUGGGAUGUCCAAGCUGCUGUAGUGUAGUAUUUUAGGUAGCUUUUAUGAUUUUCUUUGUUUUUCCUUGUAGCUCUUGUUUUGCUUGAACUUCUUCGGCCUUUGCUAGUUGUAUAAACAUGUUUUCCUUCGCUUUUCUUCAUCUUCGCUUCUUUUGUUCAUGCCCUAACCUUUAGACUUGAUAGACCAAUGGCAGGCAUGCUACUUUUUUAUAAGCAGACAAGCUCGCGUAGCCUAUGCAGCCGUAAAUGUUGGUGUAGAACUUUGCAAAGUUGUUAGCCAUUAGGUUGGUAACCAGAUACCUUACUUACAGAAGUAGACAAGUCCGCAUAACCACUAGGCUAUUAACCUUGACUUUCUCCAAUUCUGUAGGUUGCGUAGCAAGUAUCACAACACUUUAGGAAUUGGUAUAGGUUGCUCCGCACUUGGCAGAGGUGAAGCCUAUCGACUACGUAGCAUGUCGGCAGUGGAUAAAACUUCCAUAUAUGCGCGCUAGCUUGUUUAACCUUUCACAAGAAUGUGCGGUUGUAUAAGUCUAGCACGGUUUUACUGCUUGAAGGGCAAGCCGUAGGCAGUCUUCCGGAAUCCGUAGGCUACCUUAAUGUACUCGGUAGCAGCUUUAGGGUUCCAGGGCAGCCGUCUAUAGAGCGUACUGCGUAAUGUGCCCCAUCCGUCUCUAGCUCCCGGUUCCCCACAGAUUAGACCAAGAGACCCAAAAUCCUUCAGUUAGUUAAGCCUUGAAAAAGACCAUUGUGGCUACUUCUAGGAAUCCCGGCUCAAGCCAUCGUACAUCUAGUUAUACUAGGGUAGCCAGGCUCAUCAGCGUCUGGAUAUUCGGAGUGUAAAGUUUAUCCUCCCGUCUUAGAGAGCUGACCCAUAUGAGUGUCGGGGAAUUGGUUUACCCUCUCACACUAGAGAGUAAUUAAUUUACCCUCUCGCACUGGAGAGCAAUUAGUUUACCCUCUCGCACUGGAGAGCAUGGUUGGUCCAUCGGGGGGCGCAAUUCCUGCGAUGAGUCCCUAAGAAGGGCGCAGUCUUCUUUUGAAGUGCAGGAAUGAUUAGUUGUUAUAAGCAUGUGAUCGAGUCAAGUUGUGAUUACUUCUAAAUUCCUCAUUGAAAAACGAGUGAAACGAACGAGAACUUAGCCGUAAGGUAGGAACUGCAUAACAACUGGAUAGUCCUCAACUUGUGUGGUGGUACCCAUCGAGCUUCUUGAGUCUUCGGGCUUUGAUGUAGUGGGAGGUUACACAUGGCACCUUUUCAGAUUGUAGGCGCUCUACUGCUUUUCGAACUUUUUUUUUGUUGUGUAAUUGCUCUUGCUGCCUACUCGGCUAAUCUUAUACAGACUUUCUCGGAUGAGAUUCAUCUUUUUGGAGCUUCUCUGCUGGCAGUGAUGAAGGCUUUUCUUAGGACUAGAUCUCUGGGCUGGAACUGCCAGAUUUUGGCCUUUUUGUUGUGGCUGGAAAAGAACCACUGCUGGUAAGUUGUAAUGCAGAUGAUAGUCUGCUCGCACUUCUCCUCUGCCAAAUUUAAGCUUGUGGCCAUCUCCUUUCGGUUGCUCGUCUUUUGGUGUUGCGAUGUGCCCAUAGACAUCCAGGGAGUUUGUCUGGCCAUUUUCUUUUCUUAUUGGUAGGGGAUUUCUUGUGGCAGUCGAGGAUCAUCUUAGUGGAUGUUUUGGCCAGCCUAUUGCCUUGAGGAUAUCUUGGCGUAGACAUGUGCUGCUUGAUGCCAUAUUUUUAGAAGAAUUUCGCCAAAUCUUUGCCCACGAAUUACGGGCCGUUGUUGGUGACGAUGGAUUAAGGUAUGCCAAAUCGGCAAAUGAUGCUCUUUCAUAUGAAGCGCUCUAUGUCCGUUUGAAUUGUGAUCGUCAUGGGCUCUGCUUCUACCUAUUUGGUGAAAUAGUUGGUUGCCACGAUCAUCAUGCAUUUGCCCUUAGUAGUCUGGCUGGUGAUUAGCUGGGAAUCAGAAUGAAUUGAAAGCUUUUUCACCACCAAGUCUUUUGUCACUCGAAGGCCUGCUAGUGGGGCUUUGUACUCUGCUUCGUUGUUAGGUGCUUUGACGCUUAGAGUGAUCGCUUACUCGAGCAUUGAACCGUCUGGGGUGGCAAGAACCACGGUUACUUAUAAGCCUUUGUAGUUGGAUGCGCCGUCGACAUGCAAAUGCCAGAAAUUUCCAUUGAGGGAGUAGGUAUGGCUAAAGUGUGCUCGGCUACCUUCGAAGCGUCGUUGGGCCGCUUUGUUACAUUGUCAAGGCUAGGUUUGAAGGCGCGGUAGAGAGUCGUGGAGCUGGGGCCAUGUUACAUGUAGCAGGAGAUGCUCAACUUCCGGUAUUAGGCCACUCUAGAGCUGAAUAAUGGAGCAAAGGUCGGCUAGGGUCGUAUGACGCGCAGCAGAAGGUAGUGCUCGACUGCUAGUACAUGUUGCUCUUACGUAGAAUCUUCUGAGGCGACGAGGACAAAACUUGCUUUUAAGUGUUCCUUCUAGUGUUCGUCUGCCCUUGGCGUGUCUUUUGGGCUGAGUUGUUGCGUUCGUCAGAAAACUUUGCAUCUGCCAGGGUUUACGUCUUUAUCAUCACGGGUUUGGAUUAGGCGGAAUAGUGCGUCAUGAUGAUGACUGCGUACAUUUGAAGGUAAAACUUAAGCUUUUGGGUUACAACAACUAUCACCAAAGUUAGCUUUUGAAUUUUUAAUAGCAUCGAGGAGAGCUUUUGAACUAUAAAAUACAUGUAGUUGGGCCCCCAACUCUUCUCGCAUGACGGUACAGCUUAUUUCUACUUUAGAUACCGUCAAACAUGCGAAUAAGUCCUCUGCUGCUUCUAGGGAGGUGAUGUUGGGUACUUCUUCAAGCCCUUGAAUGUGCAUUGGCGAGCCUCAUCCCAAAGUGCAUGCUUCUCUGCCAAAGAAAAAGAGUCUACCAGAGUUAGAUAUUCUUUCAUGAUCAAUUUUCUAAAUAGCGGUGGUCUGCUGGAAGGCCUUUUUGGAAGGCUGCUCUAGCUAUUGAGUCGCUGCAUCCGACUAUCAUUGCCUUCUCUGUUUUGAAUCUCUUCACAUAGUCACGAAGUGACUCCUUUGGGUUCUUUUUUACGUCAAACAAAUGGUCGGACUUCUUUUUGAUCGAGCAAUAAGAUGAAUAUUCUUUGGUGAAAACCAAAGAAAGUUCGUAGAAAUUCUAGAUAGAUUGUGGCGGCAGGGUGUAGAACCAAUCUUGUGCCUCGCCUUCAUAGUGGUGGCGAAUAUCUUGCACAUGAGAUCAUCGUUGUUUCGAUAAAGGAUCAUUGUGCUUCGGUAGCGCUUUAAGUGUCUCUUCGGGUCUUCAUCCCCUUUGAAAGAUAUGAAAUGUUGCAUACUGAACUCGCAUGGAGGCUCUGCCAGCUCGAUCUCAUCCGUGAAGGGUGACCUGCUUAUGUUGGUCAUGUUCCGUCGUAGUGCCUCGUCGGUGACCUUGUUGCGUUAGAAAUCAUGCAAUCGCUUGAUUAAAAGUCUCUCUACUUCUUCCUGAAUUUUCAUUUGUUAGGGUAGCAGAGCUCUCGGCUGCCCCUAGCCAUAACUUACUGGUCUAGGAUGCUCUUCCAUGUGUUUGGCUCGUAUACCGUGGAUGCAGUGUAUGUGGUGCGGUCCUAGUAGGUGAGCGAGUUCUUCGCAGGCUGCUAGUUGAACUUGAGCUGGAUUGAGUGACUACUUCUCUCCGUCCGUCGUGCUGCCUACUCCAAUGUGAGGUGAAAGAUGCUCCUUGCAGGCUUAGCCACGAAUGAACACUUUACCUGGAAGGUUGCUCAUGUUGACUAUCAGAGUAUGACCCUAACCGUGAAUGUAUAUUCACCCGUGGGCUUAGUCGAGAGUGCACGCUCCUCCGCGCGCUAAGACGAGAGUAUACGUUAUCUCGGGAGCCCAAUUGGGAGUGUACACUGCCCGAACGCUCGGCUCGUGGCUGGUCGAGUGGCUGCUUGCCGAAACGCUGCGGGAAAGGUUCGUCUGCCCUUGUCCUACUUCGGGAUACCUUGUUUGGGGCACGUUGGAUUCUGGUGCAUUGCAAAAGUUGAUUCACCAAGGUUGUCUGUUGUGCAAGGGUGCUCGUAAACGCUACGACUUGUCGAGACAAGUGUUGUUCGUCAUUUGGAUUGGAAUAGCUUGGAAGGAAUGUGCCUUCUUGGGCAGUGGAAGGGUGGUAGACUCCGGGCUCGAGAUUUGAGUUGGGAAAUGUCAAAUCUACGAAAAAAUGUGGUGAGAAUGCCCCCGGCUCGAUGGUAGGUCCGGAUGGUUGAGAUAGUCUUGGGCCGACUUGGGCUGCUUGGAAAGCCACGGGAGCAGGCUGGGCCACGAGAGUGAGCUGCUCGGCAGGAGUAGGCUGGGCUACGAGAGUGGGCUGCUCGGCAGGAGCAAACUGCUUGGAGUGUGAUGCACAUGGGUGCGAGGCUUGGGCUCGGCUUGGUAACACAUUGAGUUCGGGUUUGGCUUGGAGUGACAUGACUUGGGCCGUGGCCUUGGUGUCGUGAGCCUUGGAUGGCACGGCUCGGGCAGUGGUAGCUGUGCCAUGGACCUCGCCGCGGGUAGUGGUGACCGUGAUGGCCACCGCGGUGGUUGCCAUGGUGGAGCCCCGUAGUGAUGGUGCCGCUCCUAUGAUCACAUUUAGCCUCGUGGAUCGUCGUGGUCCCAUUUCUUGAAUAUUAGAAUUUUCACUUAUGGAAUUUUCUAAAUUUCUAGCCAUUAUAUUUUUCUUAUACGUUUUAUCAAAGAACCUUUGCAAAUAAAAAAUUCUAAUAAUAAGAACGUAUGAAAAAAUAUUCAAAUGGACUAGAAAAUAGAGAAAAACCUUUUUAUGCGAGAGUCUUCUACGAGUAUAGAUCUCAACUCUCAAUGAAAGCACCAAUUUGUGGAUGCAAAUUUCUUCCUCCUUGAUCCUAGACAAUUUUGCACCUACAAAACAAUUAACACCUUAGGUUAAGGCCAAGAGCCUCACACGCCCACGAUGAAUGGGGGGGCUUUGGCCGAAGAACCUCUGAUGCCAAAGUUAGAAUUUAGAGAGAUAGAGUGUUCAGAGAAUUUUGAGAUUUUUGCCAAAGUGUUGGAAUGGAUUUUUGGUGAGAAUGGGAUCACUUUUAUAGGGAUAGGAAGUGGCCGGCCUAGCUAGGGUUUUUGGGUUUAAUUUAGGUUUAAUUAGUCAAUUUAUUUGGCUAAUUAAACCCUAAAGAAUAAAUUGGUGGUUACAAAAUUGAUUAUUUGUAUAAAUGGGGUAAUAAAAUGGAGAAAGGUGAAAAAGGUUAGGAAAAGGGAGGUGGCCGGCUUCUUAGUGGUUUUAGGUGUGAGUGGGUGUUUUAAUUGAUAAUUAAGGGAUUCAUUAGGUAAUUAAUCAAUUUUUAGGGAAUAUGAAAGGAAAAUAUUAUUUAGCUAAUUGAUUAGCUAAAUAAUGGAAUACAAAAUAUAUAGAACAAAUUAGGUAUUAGGAAUUACCUUAUAGAAAGGAUUUGAUGAAAUAAGCUUUAAAUUGUUACCUAUUUUGGGCACUUUUGACUUGGUUGAGGAUGAUUGUCUGCCGCUCACGCGUAGGAAUCUCGAUAUGCCUCAAGGGUAUUUUUGUUCUCUUUUACCCAAAAAUCCACGUGUCGCCUUGUGAUUAUUUUGGCUCCACAACAACCACGUCAGCAUUUAACAGACCAAUGGAUGGAAAAUCUAACGGAGGUAUUAUUUUGAAAUAAAAUAACAAGUGAGGUAUGAAAGUGAAAUGUUUUAAAGAUGUUGUAUGGGGUUGUAAUAGACCUCAAACUUGAGGGUCCUAUGUAAUUUACCUAUUUUUAUGUUAAUUAUGAAUAGGUCAAUCAUGUAGAACCAAAUUAAAAGCUAACAUCAAUAACAACUACCAGAGACAAAAGCUCUAAUCAAUGCUUCGGAAACAUAGUCUUGUAUCUCUAGGUGUAAUGAUAUAAUUUGUUGGAAACUUAAAAGAAAAUUGGUGAUUUUGUAUAUAAUCGAUAAAAAGUUAUAAUAGUGACAAUAUAUCAGUAAUAUUUAUGUUAAUUAGGAAUAGGUCAAUCAUGUAUUUAAUACUUACAUGCAUUUAAAAUAAACACCUUAUCAAUGUUUUUUUAACUGUGCUCAGUUUUUCUCCUUCGCUUUGGUUUUGUUCUAUUGGAUUUUUCAACUAUCAUUAAUUGUGAACAUAACUGAUCAUUGAGACACAAACAUCCAAGGGAGAGUACCGUGGAACAAAAUGUGGAUAUCUUUAUACAUUGUAUGGUAGUAAACCAUCAUAAACACCAUAAUAAUGUAGAAACGCUCUUGGGGUACCUUUGGAUGAUAACUCAUGUAUUUGUUGCCCUACGUAAAGAUGGCUAAUGAUAAUGGAAGUCUAAUUUUCUCAUCCCAAUCUCUCCUGUCUCUCUUGUUCUCUUUUCUCUAUAGUUUAUUUCCAACAAGUUGUGUUAUUUUUUUUUUUUAGUAUUGUUAAGCAACCAAUAGAUUUUAAUUAGCAGUCUUUGUUUUUUUCUUUUAUAUUUUUAAUCAAUUUCAGUUGCUUAUCCGUUCUAGCAAAUUGAGCUCUUUUACAGCAAUUUUUUUCUUUAAAUGAAAUUAUUAUUAUUAAAAGAGUGAGAAAAUUCGAAAUUAUUACAACAAUUUAAAAAAAAGAAGUUUCGAAUCAUAAACACAGAGGGAGUUUACAACAUUUUAAUUAAGAAAUUAGGCUUCAGCUCAACUCAUCUUUGCAACGUCGGUUCCACUUCACAUCAACAUGCAAUGUUUCAGAAGGUCACGCGGUUUUGGGGUUGUUGUGUACCAAUAAUAUUAUAUAUAUAUAAAUUAGGAUUGAAGGAUACACGCAUUUUGUAGAGCUUAUUUUGUUAUGUAUUUUAAUGAUUUAAAUGCUUACGUUUUUCUUCACUACAAAUGAGUGAAUUAAUGAUUUUAGAAUUUGUCUAAUUUUUUACAUUGAUUAUUUAUGAAUAUUGAAUUGAAAUAUAGACGAUUCAAAAAUCGUUGAUAUACAUUACAAAAUGAACUCCACAAAAUAAGCGUCAAAAUAUGUAUAUAAAAUGGACAGCGUGAAAGGCUUGGAAAUUGGAAUAGGUUUGAAAAUUGUGCUUUUUGUAGCAAAUUGUAGCAAAGUUUGCUUGGACUUUCACAACCGUAUAAAUUAUGCCGCAGCACUCUCUAUUUUCUCUCUCGCUCUAUAUCGUGGUCCCUCUCUCUCGCCGUCCUCGAUUGCUCGAACUCACUAUCCUUUAUUGCUCGAACUCACCGUCCUCAAUUGCUCGAACCCACUGUCCUUUAUUGCUCGAACUCACUGUCUCCAACUUCCUCUGUUUGGUUCCCGAUGAAGAUGGUAAAACAGUAGGGGCAAGAAAUUAUGACAAUGUUAGAUUUGCAUAUUAAUCUGGUAGGGCUACAAUUCUCCAAUCCACACCCCUUCCAUCUAUGCUAGUGUUUGUACCCAAUAUUAGAUAUCCGGUCUGUGCAAUCGAGAUCGUUGAAUGAGAAAAAUUCUAAGCCGUGGGAUCAAAUAUAAUGAUGUGGAUUAAAUAAGAAAAAUUUAAAUGUUUAUCUUGGUUGAAUUACCAUGAUAAUAUUGUGGAAUUAUCUUCUGCAUAACGGGAUAGCGAGAAAAGUCCAAGGGUGUAGGGAAGUUGUGUGGCUGACUACCGCUUUUUUUUAUGGUGUCAUUAGUAGAGUAAUAUCACACUUAACAUUUAUUUGUACCAUCUCUCUAAUAAAGAUAAAGACCAUCAAUGCAUAAAUAAUGAUACAAAUAUAUAAUAAGAGUAUCAUAUUUGUAACUAGAAUAGGAGAAGAAAGACUUCAAGAUGGGGUCAGCCAAAUAAUUAGCGUCAGGAUAAAAAUAUGAGUAAUGAUAUUUGUAAACAUCGAAAUUUCGGUAAAUAAAUGUUGACCGAUAAAUCAAAGUUUCAACGCUCAUGUAUUACAUAAAUUUUACACGUAGCGUAUGUCUAAACAAAAAAUCGAAAUAAGUUGGAAAAGUCAUCAAACAGGACACAUGUCAACACCUGGCAGAAACGACUUAUUUCAUCUGGAAUAUUAUAUUCAAAAUUAGGCAUUGGAAAAUUCUAUAAAUAGAAGCCAAUUUCAUUCAUUUGAAGGAACCAAAAUCAUUAGGCAAAAUUCUUGAAGCUCUGAAGCUCUGAAACUCCGAAACUCUCAAGCAUCCAGGUUCCCGAAGAAUCAAGAAAGCUCUCUUCGUUCUUCGUUCUUCGUUCAUCGUUCAUCCUAAGAUCAAGCUCCAACGGCCCUUUAGAUCAACAAUCAUCCACUAAUUCAAGAUCAAGCCCCGACGGCCCUUGAAGAAAGUGUUCUUCAUUCUUCGUUCAUCGUUCUUCCAAGAUCAAGCCCCAACGGCCCUUUGGAUUAACAAUCAUCCACCAAUUCAAGAUCAAGCCCCAACGGCCCUUGAAGAAAGUGUUCUUCGUUCUUCGUUCAUCGUUCUUCCAAGAUCAAGCCCCAACGGCCCUUUGGAUUAACAAUCAUCCACCAAUUCAAGAUCAAGCCCCAACGGCCCUUGAAGAAAGUGUUCUUCGUUCUUCGUUCAUCGUUCUUCCAAGAUCAAGCCCCGACGGCCCUUGGAUCAACAAUCCACCAAUUCAAGAUCAAGCCCCAAAGACCCUUGAAGAACUUCUACCAAUUCAAGAUCAAGCCCUGACGGCCCUUGAAGAAAGUGUUCAUUGUUCAUCAUCCGUUCAUCCCGAAGAAUCAAGAAAGCCUUAUUCGUUCUUCGUUCAUCGUUCUUCCAAGAUCAAGCCCCGACGGCCCUUGGGUCAACAUCAUCAACAAAUCCACACAUCCAACCGUUCUUCAAGAUCAAGCCCAAAAGCCCUUGAAGAUCCGUUCAUCACCGUUAUUCAAGAUCAAGCCUUAACGGCCCUUGAAGAAACACUCAUCCUCAAGAUCAAGCCCCAACGGCUCCUUGAAGAUCCGCUCAAAUCCACCUUCAAAGAUCAAGCCCACGGCCCCUUGAAGAAACAUCCAACAGUUCAUCCAAGAUCAAGCCUCGACGGCCCUUGGAUCAACGAAACAUCUACAAAUCAACACCUUACGGAGAUCGAAUCAGAUGAUCAAAUUAGAGAGAGAUUGUAACCCUAAAUCAUCAAAAUACAAAUAUUAUUUUGUGCACGUUGUUCUUAUCUCUUUCGUUUCAGGAAAUUUUCGUGUUCACAAUAUUCUUACCAUCUAAAUAUACUAUAAUUUUAUACCAUCUUAUGUGGCAAUUGAGAUGGACUUCCACAUAAGUUUUAAAAAAAUCUCAUGUCAGCUAAGGUGGAUAUUUACGAUUUUACGAUUUUACUCAAUGAUUUUUAUUAAUAAAAUAAUUAAAAAAUAAUAAUGAAACCUACUUGCUCCCGUUUUCAAGCCUCAUCGCUGGGCCUCCUCCCUCUUCGCUCUCCAAUUUCACCUUCCUUCACCAACGAUCGAUGGUGCUCGACCCCCUUCAUCAUUGCCAACUGGCCGAAUAUCUUGAUGGUGCUCCCAGUGAUUGUUUUGCUCUGCCACCAAAUCAAGUUUGCAAUUUUAAUGGUUUAUGCCUUCUGGCCAAGUGUUGGAUUUGAUAGGUUUUUAAUUCCAGCAACAUUGAACAAAAAUAUGAAAAGGAUUGGAUACGAUAUUUUCCUCUGUUCUACUGCUGAGGAUUUUCCGAAUAGAAGAAGAUUUGGAAGACAACCUCUUUUCUUUUUUCUUCAUGGACUUUUGGUUAGCACCAAAAUCUUUUCCUAAUCCUCUAUAGGAAUGAAAAUUUCAUUCCAUGUUAUAUCCCGAUGUUGUCCAAGGUUUUGGCUUGAAUUUUCAUUGGAAUUAUCAUAUGUUGGAUCAGAUCAGGUGGAGAGAUGAAACGUAUCUAACAAGGAAGUUGAACGGGUAGGGUUUGAGCAAAAAUAAACAGAAAUUCCACCUAGGUUGACACCUAAGCUUCCACAUCAUGUGGUAUACUAAAUGUGGUAUAAUAAGAUGGUAAGAAUAGCAUUAUUGAAUGGGUAAUGUUAAGAGAAAUUUUUAGUUGUGACGGGAACACGGAUGGUACACCAUGCGUUUUUAUGUAAAUGGUGGAAAAUUUUAAUUUUUAAAUUAUUAACCUUUUAGCACACAUAUCCCACCAUUUAUAUGAAAACACGUGAUGUAUCACCUCGUGUGAUAGUCACAUUGAAAAAUCUCUCGUAAUGUUAGGAAAACUAAAUUUAUAAACAAAAGUUACAAAUUAAAUGAUGGGUUACCAAUAAGAAUGAUUACGUUUAUCAAUGCUUAAAUAAUAAAUCAUUCAUCAACUUCCAGUCCUUUAGUUUUUAAAAUUUUGUCUAACAUUACCCUUUCAAAACUCAUGAAAAUAAUUUUCAAUUUUUUUAACUGAAAAGUGAAAGUUACUAAACAAGAUUUCAGUUUUUAGCUUUCAAAAAAAUAAAAACAAAAGCUAAAAAUAAAAUGGUUAUCAAACAUCCCUAGAAGUCAUUCUUAGUGAUAGUAAGGUCAUCUCCAACCGAAAGAUCCAGGGGGCUAGAGGGCCGAAAAUAGUCUGAAAACCAUUUCCAAUCAAAGGCCAUGCCAAAGGGGUCGUGGACCCCAUUAGACAAAAAAGGGCCAAAGGGCCAACUGGCUGGCCCCAGUUCCAACAAUAACUAGAUGACGUCAGUUAACCGUUAUUUUUGAAUUUUUUUUUUAACAAAUUUUAACUUUCUAAGCCAUUAAACAACAUUAAAUUAAGUAAAAAAGAAAAUUCCUAUAACUUCCUAAGUCAUUAAACAAUAUUAAAUUAAGUAACAUGAAACAACAUUAAACAAUAUUAAACAAAAUUAAACAAUAUUAAACAACAUUAAAUAACAUUUAACAACAUAAAAAUUAUACAACAUAAAAAAAAACAUUUAAGAACAUAAAAUUUAAAUGCCUACUUCAUGCUUCUUUUGGCCCAAAGAUGUGCAACAAGAUCCUAAUGUAGGUACUUGUUUGUGGCACGAGAGCGUAUCAUCCUAACCGUUAGAUUUGAUUUUUUUUUGUUUUCGGCCAAAUUUUUUUAAAUUUAAAAAUAAAUUAUGUUUGACCUUUUGGCCCUCGAUUGGAGAUAGUUUUUUUUGUGACAUGACUAUGUUUAGCCCUAUGACCCUUUGGCCCUCAGUUAGAGAUGGUAAGAAAUAUGACCCAACAAUGUUCAUUAAAAUAUUAAUUUCUUGAAGAGCCAGAGGGCUAAAACGAGCCAUCCUUCGGUUGGAGAUGGCCUAAGAAGAGACUAGAGAUAGAGAGAUUCCUAUACUUAGCUGUGAGAGUUUCCUAUAUAUGAUUUUCAUUAACAAGAUUGAACUGAUUACAUAGAGAAGAAGAUCAAGUAUGGUUAUUUUUAUUUGGGAGACUUUGGAUGUGGUCCUUAGUUAUGAAUAUUAUUUGAUUGAAAUCUUGUUGGUUUUUAAUUUUUUAUCAAGAUCCCUGAAAUUAAUGUGAUAAUUUAUUUCUAUGUAAGUUACUAUAUUUUUUUAAUUAGAAAUUAGAAAUUUUAGUUGUUUAUAUAAAUGAGAUUUUAAAUUAAAAAAACCAUAAUUUGUGGGAUUAAAAAUAUUAAAAUAUAAAUAUACUAUUGUGUGUGUGUGUGUGUGUGUGUGUGUAUAAAUAUGGGUACAUUCAUCAAAAUUAACCAAAAAAUUUAUUGUAUCAAAACAUGGGUACAUUCUUCAAAAUCACAAAAAAAGAAAGAUAUUAGGCUUAAUAACAUUAGUAAAUUUCUUCGAUUAAACUUGACAUGGAUACAUUUUAAAAUCAAAGAAAAAAAAUGUACCCAUAUAAGUUUAAAAAUGGAUUAGAAAAAAAAAUUGAAUAGAUUUUAUACAAAAAAAGGGUACGUUUUACAUAUAACAAAUUGGUAUAUUUAAGAAUGAGUACAUUUUAAGAUUAAAAAGUUUUACAUGAAUGGGUUCAUAUAAUUAGCAUGGGUACAUUUAGCAAAAUAAAAAGUACAAAUACAAAAAAAUAUAUGUGUACAAAUACAAAUAAACUUUAAAAAAUAUGGGCACAAAAAGAAAUUAAUAUAUGGGUACAAAUUAAAACCGAAAAGAAAAUUGGUACAAGUUAAAAAAGAAUUACAAAUUAAAAAUGGGUACAAACUAAAACUAAAAAUAUAUGAUAAAAAAUUUAGUCAUAAAUAUAAAUAUACUAAUUGUAACAUUUUUAACAUUAAAUGAAUAUAUUUAGACAUAAAAAAUAUAUUUUAUUAUUGAAAUAAUUAAUGAUGUUAUUAAUACCCAAGGACCUUGAUAAAAAAUUGAAAAGAAAUAGAAUUUUAAUCAAUGGAGUAGCAAAAGAAAAGAUGAGAACCUAAUUUCUCCUUUGUAUUGUGUAGACAUUAUAACUAUACAUUCAUAAUAACAUGAGUAAUGUUAUAUUUAUCACAUUUGUACUCUUUCUCCAAUAAAGAUAGGGUCCAUCAACACAUGUGGGUUCUAUUUGCCCAUCAACACAUGCGAAUCUCAUUUUUAUUAGAAAAAUAGUACAAAUAUGAUAUGGAAAUUAUGAUAAGAUCGCAAUUUUGUAAUAACAUAUAUACUCAACUAUUUAUAUACCAACUCAUCUCCCUUUAGUGUAGUUAAUAUUGUUUGUUCAACCAAAAAAAAAAAAACUGAACUUGUCAUAAUCAUUGAAUCCAUUUACCAUGAACAAACGGCAGUUUACUAAACUUGCCCUCAGAGUAUAUAUAAAAGGUGAAUCACAAUCUAUUGCAUUAAUAUAAGGAAACAAUUUAUAGGGUUUGACGGGUGACUUAAUAUGCUAUAUGGCACAAUGAAAAUUAAGUUCACACUUUAUCCCAAAUAAGGUGUUGCACCUUUAAUUUAUGGAUGCUGGUUUGACGUGUGACCGAAAUAAUCAAAUUGUAGCCAUUAAUCAUUUUACAAGUAAUAAUAUGUGGUUUUAUUGUUUACGAUUCACACAACAAUCUGCUAGGAAGUAGAAAAUGCAGUACUUGUCCCUCUCACAGAAGUCAUGAAUAAUUAUCAAAUUCAAAGAUAAAGAAAAACCACACAAUUUACAAGAGGAAAGAAAAUGAAGGGAUAAAGAAAGUAAGAAAGGAAUACCUCUAUGGGAGGACUCUUAUUUGCUUCAGAUGCCUACAAUAUUCAUCAUAUAAACACUGAUUAAGUAGUCAUCGAAAACCAAAACAAAUGUCGAACAUAGGGUGAAAAACAGAAAGAAUAACCGCAGCUCAUCAUACCAAUAGAGAUAGAACUGCCCGAUGCCCAAGUAUGACUGAAAAAUGGCAAUCCAAACAUGGCGCCUUCUAGCUCAUCAAACUGUCAAAACCUAGGUUCCACCAAAAAGAUACAAGUCACCUAGUUACUUGUAAAAUAAAAAUCUGUUUCAAAAUAGUGGAAAAUAUUAUUAACAUUGUUCAAAGUCCACAUUGUUGUACCUACCAAGAAACAAGAAGGAUUGUAUCUUAUCAUGAAAAAGAACAUAGGUACCUUUUCAAUUGUAAUUGUACAAAAAUGAGAGACCACUUCCGAACUUCUCUUGGAACUUCAAUCAAUUUCUGCCCACUUUUAAAUGCCUUGACAUACUUAAGCCUAUUUCUUUGAGCUUCAGUUUUGGCUUCUGAUGCCUUUAAAUUUCUUAAAGAUUCUUACCAAGUUUUACAAACUCACUUCUAUACAACCAUUUGUCAGUAUACAUACCAUUUUCUUUGAGCUUCAGUCUUUGCAACACCAAAACCCCCCAAAUAGACCCGGAAUUUUGCAAUGUGCAGGGAAUAUACAAAAAAAACCCUCCUAUCCAUCUAAAACGAAAUCAGAACGCAAACCACAAUCAAAAUCCGUAAAAUUAAUUUAGCCAACCCCUAAAUCUAAUAAUUCUAACAAAUAUUAUAGUAUCAAUUGAGAGAGAAUUUGAGAAGAUACCUAGAGAUGAAAGGAAGAGCGUUUCCUCUGAUAGGGGUUCCGUGAAAGCAUCUGUUGACCAGAAAAGAAAAGGCAAAAAACCCCAAAUUACAUAUCAAGCAAUUAUAGAUAGAUCGAACCUUGAAAAUUGAAAUUUCAAACAAGAGAAAGGUUAUAAACUUACAACGAUCUGGGUGUUGGUAACUGGGUUUGGAUUUGGGUUUCUGAUAAGAGAGAGAAUCGUAUGAGGAACCGAUAGAGGAACUGCACCGGCAACAGAGAGCAAUUGAUAUGGUGGAGAACAGACGAGAAUAGCUGCUUGGAUGGUCAAUCCAAGAAGAGAAAAUCUUGCCACAAUCGCGGUACUUGAAAAAAAAAAAAACAAGUUUAAAGGAGGGAAACAAUCGCGCCUUUUUCUAAUAGACUCUGUCGACGAUAUUCUUGACAAAUAGAUGCUUCGUCGGGUGAGCUUAUUUUUCACAACAUUUUAUUUAGGAUUGGGUUCGGUUGGUAAACCGUGUCAAAUUUCUUGUGCCACUUGCCAGCCACAUAUACAUAAUUACCGAAAAUCAGUUACCGUUAGCCAACCGUCUUCUUGCGGUUGCCAAAAAUCGGUUCAGCCAAAAUGAUUGGCUGGUUCGGUUGGUAAAUGGCACAACCGGUGGUUUCCACUUCUUCCUCGCUAUCUUCCAGUUCCAAGGGCUCAAUUUGAUUUUCAGAUUGGGAUGCUUGUUCGGUUGCAUUGUGUGGUUCAUUUUGGGUUAAUCCAUGUUGUGCACUAGUAGUUGAUUGGCUAGACUCCAUUAUCCUAAACAUAAGCAACAAAUAUACAUUCAAAAUAAUAUAUAUGUACGUGUAUAUAUAGUAUCAGUAAUCAUCAUGCUAUCAAUUUUGUUAACAAUAUUUUCUAUAUAUUGAUUUUGGCAUGAAUCAUAUACACAUACAUAUAUUUUUAAAACCCUAAAACUAAGGAGUCAUUUAUUUUCUAAACUCUAAAAUUGAGGAGUCAAGCAUGUAAAAAAAUACUUAAAAUAUCUAAAUAGAAAAAGAAAAAGAAAAAAAAAUAAAUAUAUAUAUAUAUCGGUAGGUAUGGCAUACCGCCGGCAUACAAAAUCAAUUACCAAAGCCAUGCCAUUAAUUGUCGGUUCGGUAAAAUGCCAACCGAUUAUGAAAAAAUGUCAAAACUAUACCAUACCAUUUUGAGCCAACCAGUAUGGUUUGGUCAGUAAAUCGGUUUAUGGCAAAAUUUCUCACCCCUAAUUUUAUUUGUCACCUUAAACCUAUUGGUUUCUAGCCUACAAUUCGGAUAUUUUGUUGGGGAAAGAUUUUUGUACCAAUAAAAUUUUGCUUUGUCGGCAAAAUGACAUUUUCUAGUAGUUAUAAUAUUAGGUAGAUCAAAUUUGUAAACUAUGUGAUGUGUCACUAAUAGGAAAAAAUUUCAGUGUGCUGAAAAUACGGUCUAGAACACCAAGUGUCAUAAUAUAUACUUGGUUGGAAAUCUUUUAUUUUCAAGUUUCCAACUAGUUGUAUUGUAACAGUUGGUGUUCCAAGCUAUUUUCUCCAUGCGCUGGAAAAUCUCUUCACUAAUUAAAAAUAAACAUAUUAAUUAACACUUAAGUAAUAAUCAAAGCAUCAACAACUACGUCAUAGAAUUUACGAAAUAUGAUCUUAAUUAAUGAUCUCCAUUACCCUUUAUCUUAGCGUAUACGUACGCCUUCACAUGUUUAUUUGCUGAUAUGCAGCUUGAGUAAAAAUUUCUUUUUAAGAACAUAUAUGUGAAUAUAAACAUAUAUAUCUAGUGAUCCAUGUUGCGUUAUUUAAAAAUAAACAAAUUAAUUAAUUAAUGAACUGUGUACCUGUCUGUGUAGAGUAAUCCAUAUGCAUGCUUGAAUCCUGAUCACCACGAAACCAUAAUAUAAGCUACUCAAGGCCCGGAAGCUAGGAUUGAAGAGAAAAACACCCAGUCAGAUUAAGCCAAUACAUCAAAGUUAAUACUUCCAAAUGUAAGCUUUAAGAUAGAAAAAUCACUUACUUCCUUGAGCAGUCGAGCUUCUUCAAUGGCAUGAAGCUUUUAGCAUGAGAUUGACUGCAUCACAACUAAAAUUUUCUCUUGGAAACUACAUAAGGAAUAGCAUGUAUACCUAUAACGUUGAGAAAGUACGCCAAUUUUUUCCUUCUGCACAUUCAUGUUUAAAAGUAAUCCUCAAAUGAACUUGCCCACAAUGAAAUGCAAUUUGAGGUAGUCGAGUGUGUUCCAUUUCCAUCCCAUCGGAAUUACUACUAAACUUUGAGAUGGUAGAGGAUUCAUGAAAUUUUUUACUUUUGAAAUAGUCUCCUUAGCAUUUCUCGACUAUAACAAUGAGGAAAUACUUCACCUUGUAUCAAACAAGGGAGACCGAAAAUCAACUACUAAUAGCAUCACAGAGCCAGCAGAAGAUUGAGGAGGCCAUGAAAAGGAAAGAGAAAAUACACUCUUUUUUUGUAAGGACAGAGAUAAUACAUUCAAUAAAGGGUACUGAUGUUUAUAUGCAAAGCUGAUUAGGUUUAAAUAGUCGUAUUUAUUCUGUACAGUGCCAAUAUUACCACCCGUUAGUACACUUUCAAGACACUGUAAUCCAGUGUAUGCACUAUGCAGUACGUAGUACUCCUCAUUUUUUUGGGGAAAUUCAUUAUUGGUCUUCAUAUCUUCUUUAUUUUCCUUGUCCUCAUUGUGCCACGUGUUUAAAUCACUAAUUAUAGGUAAUCUUUCAAUUUAAUUAAAUCUUAUGUAAAAAAAGAUAAUUAAAUAUCAUUUAGUAUUACAAUAUAGUGAUAUUCCUCUUUAGUAUAAAAUUUUUAUAAUUAAAAGCGUUCAGCUUUUUAAUCUUCAUUGGAAUAUUAUCUAUAAAGAAAAAUUAUUCGAAUCAGAGAUCAUUUAUGCAUUCAAAUGUAUAAAAUACAUCGACAGUGUGAGAACCAACUAAUAUAUUUUUGAUGAAGUACAAUUAUUGAAUACAUUUGAACGAUCAAAUGAUAUAUGAUUCAAAAUACAUAUUAAGAUAAUAAAUAUAAAAGAAUUGUUAUUUGCACUUCAAGAAUCUCAUUCUACACUCUAAAUUUUCUAUAUAUUAAAAGAAAAAUAAAUUUGUGAAAAGUGUAGAAUGAGGUUUUUUUAAAUGCUAAUAACACUUCUCUAAAUACAAUUAUGAAAUUAAUUAAGUAAAGAUACAUGACCUCGUGAAUGAUGAAUGUAUUAUUCAAAAAAAUAUUAAAAACAAAUUGAAAAAGGACGCUGUUGUUGCCACCACUUAUGCAAUGAUCGUCGCUGCCAUCACCAACCCCCAACACCCCAUUACAGCUCAUAAAAGCACAUCAUAAGCAAUUUAUGAAAUAAAUUUACUGGAAUACUAAUUUCCCCCUUAGUUUAGGUCACCAAUGUUUAAAUUUAGGGAUCGUGAUAUCCACACACAUUUUUUACUUCUUUCACACUUUUUUUUUCGGUUGUCGGAUCAGAUGAAUUGAAGAAAAUCAAUGAACAGAAAUUAACAAGGGGUGUGUGAGAAGUAAAAAUGAAUGUGUGGAUAACACACCCCUAAAUUUAUCACAACUUUCAUUCCAAAUUUAAUUUUUAUCCGUAGUUUUGUUUGUUCAAAUUUACUUUGACAUUUCCAUUAGUAUUAAAAUCUAAUUUAAAUUUUAGUGUUCAAGCUAGAAAAAGUGUUCCAUUUAAUAUUUAAUCUCAGUUUUUCUCUUUAUUCUUUUAUUGGGAUUUGGUUGCAUCGUAUCUCCAUUUUUCUCGGUGUUGUAUGUUCAUAAGGCCUGUGAAACGUUGGCACGGAGUGAAGGGUACUCACUUUUUGGCCCAAAAUGCAUAAGGCAUGUAGAUAUGUUAAUCAAAUUUUGUAAACUAAAGGAUAUAGAAGUUGAUAAUUAGAUUAUAAUUUAAGAUAAUACUAAGGAGACUAAAUUUGCAAACUAAAUGAUGUGUCACCAAUAAAAAUAAGCACGUUUAUCAACAAUUAAGUAAUAAAUCAAUCAUCAACUUUCAUGUCCUUUAGUUUCCAAGAUUUAAUAUACAAAUUUAGUCUCCCAAGCAUUACUCUAUUACUUAAGUAUUGAUUAACAGACUUAUUUCUUAUGGUGACACAUUAUUUAGUUUACAAUUUUAGUCUACCCAACAUUACUCUUUUGAAAUUGUCUUGUCCACUGAUAUAAUUCUAUUUUUCUUGUGAUCAAAACUUCAAAUGUUAGCAAGUCGCACGUAAAGUCGCUUAUGAGAGAAUGUGCUCACAUUGUAGUUGAAAGAUUAUGUGGCUAGCAACAUUACAAAUUUAAUUUGGUAUAAUUCUAAAAUAUAGAUUGAGGAAAAAAUGAUCACAUUAACUAGAAACUGAAAAGGUUUCAGCACAGUUUGUUCAAGCAAGAAAUUCAAUUUUGAUGCUACCGAUCUUAACAGCCUGAGCGCCGUACCUGGGCACCAAAGUCACCACCACACUCUCAUCAUCUUCAGCACCCAAAUCCUCCAACAGGUCCGUUAACCCCAACCUUAAACAACUCUUGCUCUUUUCCUUCUGCUUAUGUGGCACACUCACAAAACUCCCAGCAAACUCGCUCUUGUCGGGUCCACUCGGUGCCGCAUCCUCAUCGUCCACGUCAUUCACAUACACACAUCAAACUUCACAGCCACAUCUUUGUCAAGCUCAAUCCCCUGAAUCACCAAUAUCUCCUCCUCAUCCUCUUUCUCCUUCUUGCUCCUCUUCUUCGGCUUCGGCCUUGACACCACCGUACUUAUCUUCGUCUCCAAAUUUAUUGGAAAAUCUUUACCCGCCACCACCUUCCCUGAUGACGUCGUCUCAGUGGCCUUCGCCACUCCAGCCGCCUUUGCCUUUCUCGCAAGCUUUGUCCGACGUGGCGUCGGUCUAGACUUGAGCCAUGGAAUCUCAACAUCUUCAUACGUAUACCCUAGCUUUUUAUUAUCAAGAGUGUCCCUCACCGUGACCCUAACAAGCUCAGCAUUCUCGUCAUAAAACAAAAACCCCGUAUCCAACCAAUCCUUAUCGUUAAUAUCGUUAUUUUUAGUCCCUAUACUUUUCCAAAUAUUCCACAUUCGAUCUAUAUUCGAAUGGUGCGAAAAAAAUAUUGGAUCCCUUGCAGCGGAGUAAAAAUUCCCCAUGUCUUCAAAAUUAGGCUGCGUGUUAUCUCCGGUCCAUAAAUGAACCGGACCAUGUGGGGUCGUUUCGAUUGAACCGCCCCCUGGAUCUGGUUCAGUGUCAGCCCUGUAGGGCGAACCAAAGAACAACAGCGGUUUCUUGGAGUUGGAAACCAUCUGCCUAUACAUGAUUUUGAGGUUGGCGUCGAUUUGAGCAUCCUUGGACAUUGUUUCAUCCGUGCCGUUGAAGUCAAGAUCGAUGAGAGUCGGCGGCUGAUGGCUGGCAGCGCGGAGCUCGUCGUAAAGCGGAGAGUCCGGGUUAGCGAACAAGGCAGGGAGUUGCAUGCCAGCUGGCGCGUCCCAGUUCCAAAACGGCAACGCGAACGUCGGAUCGUCUAUGAGUUUGGCCAAGAUUCUUUCGUAGAAGUAUACGUAGUAACGAUGGAAGGGGAAGAAAAGCCAGCAUUGAUGGAUUUGGAGCUCGAGGUUGGGGAAGCCGACUUGGUCGUACGCGCCGUCGCAAUAGGCACAGUGGAGAUCGGCUUGCUGGGUGAAGCUACGCGGAUCGUCGUCCGGGAGGGCUUUCAUGAGCUCGAUGGCUUUUGAAUAUUUUUCGAUGUAGGCUUUAUCCACGGUGUGAGCUGCCGGCCUGACGCGGAGUUUGGUAGGGGAGGGGAAUUUGAAGUCUACGAUUUUUUGGGACGUUGGCGGGCAACAGUUGAUCGGGACUGCUCCACUUGGAAAGUCCGCAGCUCCGCAUUUGGCUAGGUCAGGCGGCAACACUGGCUUUGCAACAGCGAAGGGGUCGCUGCCAAGACCAGCCACUCCGGCUUUGCAACAGCGAAGGGGUCGCUGCCAAGACCAGCCACUCCACCGUAGAGGCUUCCGAGACCUAUAAGAAGAUAGAAUUCAGUUCUUGGCAGUAGAGGACUCUAUUGCAGGGAAAAACUGAUUUGAAUUAGGAAGGCUUAAGUAGUUUUCCAUAAGGAUUUUAAUAGGGAAUCCAUAUUCUAAUAUGAGAAGGAUAUGUGUGUACAUAUAUAUAUAUAUAUAUGGCAAUCUCUUCUCUCACAGGUGUGUGCUCUUUUGGAACUAAGCCCUAUUCUUAGUUUGAGUGAUAAAUACCCUGACAGAGAGAAGAAGAAUUGAUGUGCUUUUCAGGUUGAUCGAGAUCCACCAUGACUGCAUCAAACGGGAGUUCUACAGGUUAGUAUAAUUAGGUUUUAUUUGGAUUGAUGUUUUGUGUCUACUUGGUUGUAGUUUAAGUAACUGAAUCUUGCAGCUAGAUUUUGGUUUACAUGUGGUAUCAGAGCCAUAGAUUCAUGUUCUUAAAUUCAAUCGAUAAAAUUGAUUGAAUCCAAAAUAAAAUUCCGAUCUUCAGACUUCGAAACAGGUUCUGGUAGUUAAAAUUAGGAAAAGAAGAAACGGUGCGUUUUGAUUAAAAUAUGAUGAUUAAUACUUGACCGUUAAGAGCUAAUAAACUAUCUUCUCUUCCGAAUUGGGAAUACAAAUCGACAUCUAUCGAUUUCGAUUUCGGGGUUUGAAAAACUGGGUUAUAUGACAUCUAUCGAUUUCGAUUUCGAGGUUUGAAAAACUGGGUUAUAUGAAUUGUUAUUGAGUAUCCACAAUUUAUAUUAAUUGCUUCCGCUGCUGGGUGUUGAUGCUCAUAGAACAAACGGGUAUGUCUCCUGAACAUUGAAUUGAAAUUUGUUUUUUAAUCAAUCUUAUCUUGAAUUUCAUUAUGUUCUACAGCAUGAUUCGAAUAGUGAGCAUAAAAAUAUGCUUAUUUAUGCUGAUUAGUCCUAUGUUUAUGCGUUUUUCUCUAACCAUCUAUGGAAGGGAGUUCUUCGAUAAGAACCUCUGCAGAUUUCACUUGUUUUAUGCAGAAAGUUUUAUGAAGAACUGUUCAUUUGAUAAAGAUCUGCUAAAACUGUGUUCUUAAAUGGAAAAAUCUUUUAUUCUAUAUGUGCUUAUCAAUUCUUCAUUGUUAAGAUUAUAUAUAUGGAUAAAAGGUUUUGAUGAUAUGAUGUACAAAGGAUUGUGAGAUGAAAUCUGGAACUCUAAACGUUCUUCUGUGAUUCAUUGUGAUUUCAUUGUGCUACAGUGUCUGCAAUAUCAAUGAAGACUCUGAAUUUGGCUAACAUCCCAAUUCUUACUGGUGGGGGAAAUUACAAGAAGUGGAGAAGGGAAAUCAGUUUGCUGUUGACUCUAAACGAGUUUGAUAUAGCAAUCGAGAAUCCCAAACCCGUGGUCAAUGAUCAGAGCAGCACAAGGGCUGAAAAGGCAGAUUUUGAGAGAUGGACAAGGGCUAAUAAGGUAGCAUUGUCCAUCCUUGAGAGUGGCAUGACUGAUACAAUCAGAUGAGGAAUUAAGAAGCACGAUUUGGCUGCUGAUUACCUAAAAGCUAUUGAAAAGAAAUUUCAAGAAUCUGAAAAAGCUGAAGUGAGUCAGUAUAUGUCUUUAUUAACUACUUACAAGAUGGAGGGUACAAGCUCUAUAAGGGAUCACAUAAUGAAGAUGACAUAUGCUGCAGAAAGACUCAAUGCAAUGGAUAUAAACAUAGGUGAAAAGCAGUUAGUAUUCAUGAUUCUUCAAGCACUUCCCAGUAAAUAUAGUCAGUUGAAGAUCUCCUACAAUACUCAAGACAAAAACUGGGAUAUUGAUCAGUUGAUUGCACAGUGUGUGCAAGAAGAAACUCGUCAAAAACAAGAAAGAGGCAAAGAAGUUGAGGACAUCAACUUUGUGCAAACUAUAAAUGACAAAAAGCAGUUCAACAACAGAAGCUUUUCUGGUUCUGGUAAGAGUUCUAAGCCUUUUAAAACUUCUAAUAAGUUCAGUAAUUCUGCUAAAGUAGUUGACUCCCCUAGAAAAUCUAUCAAGUUUAAAGCUAAACCUAAAGAUGUGUCUAAAUUAAAAAUGUUUUUGGUGCAAAACUAAGGGCCAUUUAAAAGUUAACUGUGAAAUUUUCAAAGAUUAUGUAAAGAGCAAAGAAAAGGAACAAGUACUUGUCUGUAUUGAAUCAAAUUUGUGAAGUAUACCUGUUGAUUCUUGGUGGUUUUGAUAUACCGGAUGCUCAGUGCAUAUAACUAAUUCUUUAAAUGGUUUUCAAAAACAAAAGGAAUUUGGAAAUGCUACAUAUAAUGUUUUUGUUGGGGAAGGAACUAAAGUUGCAGUAGAGUCAAUUGGGAUAGUCAAAUUAGUCUUAUGUUCUGGUUAUGUUUUAGAGUUGAAAGAUGUGUGCUAUAUGUGCCUAAGAUGAGAAGAAACUUAAUUUCUGCCCUCUAAAAUUGUAAAAGAUGGUUUUUCUUUUCUUGGUGAUGAUGAGUGCCUCAAAAAUUUUCAAGAAAAACUGUCCUUGUCCUAACACUAUUUUAGGGACUGCUUUUUUGUCUGAUAAUUUAUGGAAUCUAAAUUGCACUGUUAAGGCACUCAAUCACACGAUUUUCAGCAUUAGUACUAAGAGAAUGAUAGGUCAGGAUACUUCAUACAUUUUAUGGCACAAAAGACUAGGACACAUCUCUAAAGAAAGGAUAAUUAAGCUGUAAAAAACUGACUUGAUUCCAAAAUUAGAUCUUUCUACUGCAACUGAAUGUGUUGACUGCCUAAAGGGUAAAAUGACCAAUUUUAGAAAAACAGAUGCCAAAAUGAGCCAGGGGUUACUUGAAAUCAUACACACUGAUAUCUGUGGUCCUUUUCCAGUUAAGACAAUAUGUGGAAACAAGUAUUUCAUUAAUUUCAUAGAUGAUUUUUCAAGGCUGGGAUAUACCUUUCUGAUUAAUGAAAAAGCUGAUGCCCUUAAGUGUUUUAUAAUUUACAAAACUGAGGUUGAAAAACAGUUAGGCAAGGUUAUUAAAAUUGUUAGAUCGGAUAGGGGAGGUGAAUACUUUGGCAGGUACACUGAAUCCGGGCAGCAAAAGGGACCAUUUGCUCUCUAUCUCGAGAAGAAUGGUAUUGUGGCGCAGUACACCACACCUGGAACGCCUCAACAGAAUGGUGUUUUUGAAAGAAGAAACAGGACUCUUAUUGGUAUGGUUAGAAGCAUGAUGUCCAGAUCAAAAUUGCCAGGAUUCUUGUGGGGAGAAGCUUUGAAAACAGCUAAUCAUAUAUUGAAUCGAGUUCCAAGCAAGGCAGUAUCUACCACACCCUAUGAGUUAUGGCAUGGGAGAGUUCCUAGUUUUACUUAUUUCCAUGUUUGGGGUUGUAAAGCAGAAGCUAAGUUAUAUAAUCCUAAUGAAAGAAAGCUGGAUUCAAGGACUCAGUCAUGUUAUUUUAUUGGCUAUCCUGAGAAAUCAAAAGGAUACAGGUUCUAUAUCCCUCAAGGUCACACUCGGAUCCAAGAGACACACAAUGCAGUUUUCCUAGAAGAUGAAGAUGUCUCUCAUUUGUCAAGGGAAAAUUUCAUAUUUGAAGAGAUGCAUUCAGAUGGUGGGGACCAUGUGACAAUGGAUUAUAAUAUCGGUCUCAUUGUUUCCCAAUCAAUCAUCAAUUGCCAUUGAAGAUAUGAGUGAAGAUUUAGGAGUUCCUGAUGACAACUCUGUAGGAGUUGAUUCCACAACAUAAGCUGCAACAAUUCCUUUUGCAGAAGCAUGUGAACCAGUUGCUGUUCCACCUCCAGUUGAAAUCAGAAGGUCACAAAGAGCUCGGAAAACCACUGCAAGCAAUGACUAUGUGUACUUAUAAGAGACUGAGUUCGAUAUUGGUGACAUUUGAUGAUCCUCUUACAUAUACUCAGGCAACUGAAAGUCCUCAAGCAGUUCUUUGGAACAAUGCAAUGAAGGAUGAGUUAGAUUCAAUGUCCAAAAACCAGGUUUGGACAUUGGUGGAAUCCAACUCUGAAAUUAGGCCAAUAGGCUGCAAGUGGGUAUAUAAAACCAAAAGGGAUGCUGCUGGAAGAAUUGAAAGAUAUAAAGCAAGGUUGGUUGCUAAGGGGUUUACUCAAACGGAGGGGAUCGACUAUAAUGAUACUUUCUCUCCAGUUUCCUCCAAAGACUCCAUGCGAGUUAUCAUGUCUUUAGCUGCCUACUUCGAUCUUGAAUUACAUCAAAUGGAUGUAAAAACCGCUUUUCUUAACGGAGACUUACAAGAGGCUAUAUACAUGAAACAACCUGUUGGAUUUGUUGAAAAGGGGAAAGAGAAUUUAGUAUGCAAGCUCAAUAAGUCCAUAUACGGCUUGAAACAAGCAUCAAGGCAAUGGUACCUAAAGUUUGAUCAAAUUGUCUCUGCAUAAGGUUUUGUAGAAAACAAACUGGAUGAUUGUAUAUACAUUAAGUUCUCAGGUUCCGAGUUCAUCUUCUUAGUACUUUAUGUUGAUGCCAUUCUCCUAGCUAGUUCAUGUCCCCAAUUGCUUCAUAGCAUUAAGAGAAUGCUAAGUGAUAACUUUGAGAUGAAAGAUCUUGGAGAAGCACAUUAUGUACUAGGAAUAGAGAUUGUUCGAGAUAGGAAAAUGAGGCUCCUUGGUUUAUCUCAAAAGGGGUACAUUGACAGAGUGUUGGAGAAAUUUCAUAUGGCAAAUUGCAAUUGUGGUCAGGUUCCAGUCAAUAAAGGUGACAAGUUUUCGAAGAUUCAAUGUCCAAGAUCUGAUUUGGAGGUGAAGAAAAUGCAAGCUAAGCCUUAUGCCUCGUUGAUUGGAAGUCUUAUGUAUGCAACUAUCUGUACAAGGCCUGAUAUUGCCUUCAUAGUUGGUAUGCUAAGACGAUUUCAAGCAAAUCCUGAGAAGCACAUUGGGGGUGGCAGCCAAGAAGGUUCUUCGAUACUUGCAGAGAACCAAAACUCACAUGUUAGUAUAAUGGCCGAACUGAUUCUUUGGAGCUCAGGGGGUAUAUACUCGGAUUUAGCUGGAGAUGUGGAUGACAGGAAGUCCACAGGGGUUAUAUCUUCAUACUCAAUGGAGGGGCAGUUUCGUGGAAAAAUGCAAAGCAAACUAUUAUAGCCACAUCAACUAUGGAAGCUGAGUUUGUAGCCUGUUUUGAAGGCAUGAAACAGGCAGCAUGGUUGAAGAAUUUUUUGACAGAUUUAAAGAUUGUGAAUUCGGUUCAGAAACCAGUAACAAUGUUCUGUGAUAAACAACUCGGCUGUGUUUUUUGCUAAGAAUAAUAAAAGGACUUCAGCAUCUAGAUUUGGAUGGACGAAGUUUCUUAAGGUCAGAGAACAAGUCAAGAAAGGAGUUAUUGAAGUACAGCACAUUAGCACUACUAUGAUGAUUGCUGAUCCCUUGACUAAGGCACUGCCAAUUGGAGAAUUCAAGAAACAUGUUUCUUCAAUAGGAGUACUAGAAGGUUUUGAUCAGUGGGAGUAAUCACGUGUGUGUUAAAGGCUUGGGAUUGCAGAAGCAGAAGUAUAUAUGUGUUUCAAGAACUGUAUGUGCAAUUCUGACAAGCUGAACUAAGGAUGCUUUAUGUUUUAACUUGCUUUAGUUAGUUUGUUAAGGUUGUUUGUGUUUUAAUAAGUGUCCUUGUCUGCUACUCAAUACUUUGGCUUUCAGGUGUUGAGGUACGGAUACUGGACUGAGUUAGAAUUUAGUUUCAUUAGUAACUUUGAAAGAACAGUUUGUCUGUUUUUUAAGUUUGUGGUUAAUGAUGUUAUAUAGUCAAUUACUAUGUUGCUUUUCUGUGAAGAUUAAUGUGUGUUGUGAUCUUUUGAAAAGUGGGAGCAUAAUGUUUGACGGUUUAUGUUAGUCAUGAGUCAUAUUUACAAAUUGAAUAUAUGUGAGCCUUGAAUUAAUACUACAAUUUGGUUGUGGUCUGAGAUUCUUGGUUUCUAUAUUUUGAGAUGUAAUGGGACAGUGGUCAUGAUGGUUAAAUCUUAGAUGAGGUUAUGUGAUCACUUCUUAUGAUUGGUGACGGCAAGGUUUGAUCUUUGUCUCAUGUUCAAGUGGGAGAAUGUAAGAAUGUGAACAUGAGAUAAGAUGAUCGGAUAUUAGUUGUUUGAGUCCAAUCCGAAUAAGAAAGCCUCUAAGAAGAUGGAAUUCAGUUCUUGGCAGUAGAGGACUCUAUUGCAGGGAAAAACUGAUUUGAAUUAGGAAGGCUUAAGUAGUUUUCCAUAAGGAUUUUAAUAGGGAAUCCAUAUUCUAAUAUGAGAAGGAUAUGUGUGUACAUAUAUAUAUAUAUAUGGCAAUCUCUUCUCUCACAGGUGUGUGCUCUUUUGGAACUAAGCCCUAUUCUUAGUUUGAGUGAUAAAUACCCUGACAGAGAGAAGAAGAAUUGUUGUGCUUUUCAGGUUGAUCGAGAUCCACCAUGACUGCAUCAAACGGGAGUUCUACAGGUUAGUAUAAUUAGGUUUAUUUGGAUUGAUGUUUUGUGUCUACUUGGUUGUAGUUUAAGUAACUGAAUCUUGCAGCUAGAUUUUGGUUUACAUAUUUUUCGAUGUAGGCUUUAUCCACGGUGUGAGCUGCCGGCCUGACGCGGAGUUUGGUAGGGGAGGGGAAUUUGAAGUCUACGAUUUUUUGGGACGUUGGCGGGCAACAGUUGGUCGGGACUGCUCCACUUGGAAAGUCCGCAGCUCCGCAUUUGGCUAGGUCAGGCGGCAACACUGGCUUUGCAACAGCGAAGGGGUCGCUGCCAAGACCAACCACUCCGGCUUUGCAACAGCGAAGGGGUCGCUGCCAAGACCAGCCACUCCACCGUAGAGGCUUCCGAGACCUAUAAGUACAUUUCUUCUGUCUAGGUUUACUAGAGAAGGGUUUUCAUGGUCGUGAUCGUUGGAGCUAGUGGAAGGGUUUUUGUUUUGGUCACUACUAUUAUUUGUGGCUUUGCACGAGACAGCUUGUAAAUUGGAAUGCCUAGGGUUUCCAAAUGAGGAUAUUCGGUGAUACUUUUGGGAGAAAGGGGAGAGAGAAGUUGUGGGGAUGAUACUUGUGGCGGAGGUGACGAGUGGAGCUGACAUAGAAGCCAUGGUACUUGACUCUGAAUAAUACGUUGUAUUGGCUUUGCUUUUAUAAUGUGUUCUAGGUUUUACGUUUCUUUGCACGGGUGGCAGGCCGUACACACGUGGUCGGUCCUUAAGGGUUUGACGAGGAAUACUACGCAGUCAUUUAGUACAUGACAACCAUACACUAUAGCACGUGGCAUGUAUUUAGAGAUCGAGAGAGAAUUGGGUAAGGUUCACGAGGGAUUGUAGUUUCAGAAGGUGAAUUGGUUUUGGUCUUCUUGUGUACCAAUAAUUUUUACUUAGUCAUUUAGUGCAGGACAACCAUGCACUAUAGCACGUGGCAUGUAUUCAGAGAUCGAGAGAGAAUUGGUUGGGUAAGGUUCACGAGGGAUUGUAGUUUCAGAAGUUCAAGCGGUUUUGGGCUUGUUGUGUACGGCUGUGGGUCUGCUGUCACGGACUCUCUGUCUCAUUUGUGUCUUAUUUUUUAUUUUUUGACACGUUUUAACGUCAAAUCAUUAUAGCAAUGUUAUGCAAUUGGGAGCUAAAUGACCGAUGCUCUUAUUUUUUAGUUUGCUUUUUUUCCAGAUCUGAUCAAAUCAUGAUAGCAAUGUUAUGCAAUUUUCAAGAGGGAGAGAUGCACCUGGGAGAGAAACGGUACGGUGACUUCUAAAUCACCGUCCAACAGAACAAUUCUCAGUAGAGACUACUAGAGAGAGAUGCACCUCACCAAUGAAAAAUUUAACUGCAAAAAUUCUGGGUAUCGGGAGUUGUGGGGUGGGUCUUGGCAGUUUUCUUAUUUCUUUGAAUUUUUUAUAAUUUAUUUUAUAAAAGUAACAGUGUUUUGUGGGGGUUAAAUUGUAAAACACGUGUCAUCAAACUAAAUAAAGAGACACCAAAGAGACAUGGAAUUCGGGACAACAGACCCACAGCCGUUGUGUACGGAGGCAGACUCUCUGCUCUCCUACUUUCUGUGUCCUCCUGUUUUGUGUAGUCACGAUUAAAUCACGUCAAUAUUUUAUAUUAUUAUUUUAUAGAUAUAAUAAGACAAAAAAGAAUAGUAAUUUAAAAUAUUAACGUGACUUAACUGUGACCACACGAAUAGGAAGGCAUGAGAAGUGGGAAGGCAAAGAAUAUGCCUCCGUUGUGUACCAAUAAUAUUAUAUAUAUAUAUAUAUAUAUAUAUAUAAUUAGGAUUGAAGGAUGUAGAGCUUAUUUUGUUAUGUAUUCUAACAAUUUAAGUGCUUAUCUUUUAGGUUUUCUCUUAAACAGCAUGCCUAUAAAAAAUCACCAAAAUUCAAACCAUAUGACCAUUAGAUCCAUAGUCAUUUUAGUGUUAAAUGAACUUCACAAAAUAAGUCUCAAAAUAUGUAUAAAAAAUGGACAGCGUGAAUGGUUUGGAAAUUGGAAUAGGUUUGGAAAUUGUGCUUUUUGUAGCAAAUUGCAGCAAAGUUUGCUUGGACUUUCACAACCGUAUAAAUUAAACUGUUCGCUUUGUUGGGAAAAACAAGUUUGCCGCUGGUCUUGGGUUCCAAGAUCGGCCAAUUUGACGGCACACUUUUUGGCGUUGAGAAGCAGUACGGAGAUGUGCAGAUUAACUUGGAUUGAUACUCCUCCAUCUUCGUUGGUUCGUGUAUUGAACAAAGAUGGCCUUCCUUGCCCUCCUUAAUAUUUUUUGUUCUUCCUGCAGUGGAGGCGGUGACGCCUUGCUCUUGGUGCAGCGUCUAGUGUUCUGUACCCUCCUCUUCUGCAUAUGUUUGUAUUUCCCCUCGUUGCCCCUUCUAAGUGGGCUUCCUAUUGUUUUGGCUUCGGCCCUGGUUAUGAAAUAUUUCCAAUCUUACCCAAAAAAAAAAAAAAAAAGAAGAAGAAGAAGAAGUCAAGCACGGUGGGAGACUGGUCAUAGUUUCUAGAUUGAUGCUCUAAUUCUAAUGUUAUACAACGCGUACGCUAAAAUAUUUUUAUCAAAAUAUUAGUUUUAGUGUUAUCAAAACAAUAAUGUUAUUCUUACCAUGUUUUUGUAUCACAAUUAUAUACCACCUUAGAUGGCAUAUGAUGUAGAUAGCCACAUCAUUUAAAUUAAUAAGCAUUUAAUUUCAAAUGUUAAUCAAUAAUUAAUAAAAUGAUUGUUAAUUAAAUGAUGAUUAUGGUAUACAAGGAGUCUCCUUCUUCCUUCCCCUUUCCAUUCUGCUUUUUCUUCCUACCACUUUCUGUUUUUUUUUUCAUGCCAGUUUUUGUAUUGAUUUCUAUUGAUUUCCAUGAUUAUGGUCAAUCUUUAUAGAAUUUACUCGUAUACCACAACCACCAUUGAUUUCUAUCUCUAGACUCAUGCCCCGUAGCCCUAAUCCUCAUUCCCCUUCAAGUAUUUCUGUCUCCAAUCUUCUUUGGUACUCCAUGGUUGUUCAUCUCGUGAUUUUUUUUUAUUAUUUCAUUAAGUAACGCCUAUUAGCUUUCAUGCGAAUUAGGAGUCAAAAUCAAAUUUGUCUAUCGGAUUAGGGUUCAUGCCCAAUUAAGUUACUAACGCAAGAGAGAUUUUGAAGUCUACAAUUUUCCUUAUUUAAGUGUUUUAAUUAAUAAGAAAAUUGAAAUUAAACGAUUUAGCUUGUCCAACUCAUCUGCCACCUAAGAUGGUAAAUAAAUGUGGUAAGAAUAGCAUUACUCUUAUCGAAAUUACAAAAAAAAAAAAAAAAAAAAAAAAAAGCUGAUUCAAUAUUUAGUUAUUAAAAAAAAUAUAAAAAAAGUGAUCAAGUAACUAUCCAAUACCCAUGUAUUGGGUGCUUUGUUUGAAAAUUUUCAAAAUGAUAUUGGGCUCGUUUGGAUAUGUUUUUAAAAUGACUGAAAGCGUUUUUAGAGAAAAUAUUUUUUUGAUUCCAAAAGCACUUAAAGUGUUUUCUGCAAAAAGCACUUAAAGUGCUUUCUGCAAAAAGCACCAGUUAUGUGCUUCUUCCUAGAAGCACUUUAAGUGUUUUUCAAGCAUUUACUUGCUUUUUUACUAAGGAUUGGUUCCAAAAACAUUUUCACAAAAAGUGUUUUCAGUCAUUUUAAAAGUACAUUCAAACGAGCUCAUUGUUUUUCCUAUUUUAAUCAAGUGCGUCGUCCCCUGUUGAGAAUGAAUCUCAUAUUAUGGGGAGAGGGGUCUUGCAUGGAUGAGAGGAGGGACCUUGCAUGAGCUUAUAAGUAAGUUGGGUUACUCUCUAUAUUGCCAAGAGAAAUUUUAUUUGGACCUACUUUUCCUCUCUCUAAACCCAACUUUAAUAUUUUGUUACCUAAACUCUCUAGUUUACCCUCAUAAAUUAUAAACAUAAAUAAACUGGAAAAAGAAAAACUCAUCAAACCUAUUUCCCAACUGUUCUGGCGUCUCUUCCCUGUAUUUGUUGGGUCUAUCUCCCUCCCGACUGUUUUUUUUCCCUGAUAUUCUCUGUGUGUUCCCCCACCUCUCCCACACCCACCGAUUCUUUGUGGUGGCUAUUCCACCCAACGUCCAGUGAAUCUUUCCAUUUUUCUUCUAUUGCGCGUGAUAGGGCCUUGCUGUUAAUAGGCAAAACUAAGCGGCAUCGUCGACUCUGUAAGCGACUUGUUGCAGAAGUCCAAAAUGGAGUCAAAAGGAUUUUGUAUUGGGUCGGGUUGUUGAAGGCGAUGGCUGAUUUAGCAAUCUCGCCUAACUACUUCUAUAUGCAGGAGAAGGAAGAGGGAGGAAGGUCUAAAGUGGUGGUUGAGUGGUGGCGAUGUAUGUGGGUUCUAUCUCGGUUGAAUGGGUGUAGAAAGAUAUUUAAUUUUCAGUUUCUUAUUUUAUUUUGUAUAAGGGAUAAUAUCGGAAUUACAUAAAAAGUUUUUUUUAUAGCUGGGUGUAGAAAUAGUAUUGUUGGGUCUAAAUAAAAUUACCCUAUUGCCAAACAUAGUAUUGUUGGGUCUAAAUAAAAUUACCCUAUUGCCAAUUAGCUUUGUUUGAAAAUUUUCAAAAUGAUAUUGUUUUUACCAUUGAACCCUUGUUAUAUACAGUGAUGGCUAAUUUGUCAAGUUCUACGAAGUUGGGAUACCCAGCGUUUUAGCAUAUAACAUAACUUAGUAUUACAAGCAUAAUUAAUUAAAAUAAAGGAAAAUGAAGAGGAUAGCUUAGUAUUACAAGCAUAAUUAAUUAAAAUAAAGGCAAAAGUAACAGCCUGUCCCUAAAAAUGACGAUUUUAUAAUCUUAACACGUGAGUUUAUGAAGAUGCCCUUCGAGGCAAAGUGUUGACUUGUGUUGACUACCGCAUCGUGUCAUGUGAGACUCAUCUUCUUGGCGUAUUCUCGUUUUACUUGUCACUACGGACGCAUGGGCGCAAACGGGACAUGAUUUGGAGCUAUAACGAAUGAGUUAUUAACAUUUAAAGUUAAGGACAUUUUAGUAAAUUAAUUAAUUUCAGAUUAUGUUGAGGGGAAAAUCUGGAGUGCCGGUGGGUGGCCCAGAUUAAAGGAAAUGAAGAAUGGAUGGUGGAGGUGUAAAGGAAAGAAGAUAAAAGAAAAAUGAGAGGAAGUGUGUGACUAAUAGGGAGAUGAGAGAGUUAGGAUGGCCCAAUCAGAAACAAACGAAAGGAGGAAAAAGGAGAGAAGAGGGGAGCGGGGGAUCCCUUCGACCCGGUUCCAUUUUCCGACCCGACCCGAUCCUUUUCAUCUUCUUUGAUGGUUUUUCGUCGGUUUUUUCCGACGAACCACGUUAUCUAACCCCUUGGAAAAUGUUCCACAACCUUCCCUCAACUAUUACAAUCCAAAAUUGUAGAAAUUUAGCCAUGAAAGUAUGAAAACCACACCGGUGGGUGCGGGAAACCCUUGUCGUCGAUUCUCCCAUUAUUGCAACGAUUUUCACCAAUUACCACCACCUACAACAUCCUCUUGAGGUCUGGAAUAAAGCCCAAACAAGUUUUGCACUACUACAAUAUUAGCUUUAGAUGGCAGAUGAUGGUGGCGGAUUUAGAAAAAUAUUGUCGGAUAAAUUAUAUCUGACACAUUAUUUAAUUAGUGGUGAAUAUAAGAAAAAUCAUGUCGGUUAUAACCGACAUAAAUUCGUGGCAGAUACUAGCAGAUAUUAAAAAACUCAUGUCGGUUAUAACCGACAUAAAUUCCUAGCGAAUAAUUACUGACAGAUAUUAUAAAACUUCUGUCGGUUAUAACCGACAAUAUUUUUGAAUUGGGGGAAUUUAAAAUUUUGGGAGGGAAUUUAAAAUUUUGGGAGGGAAUUUAAAAUUUUGGAGGAAAUUUUGGGGGGAUUUUUACCCAUAUUAAUUCAUGGCGGAUAAUUACUGACGAAUAUUAUAAAGCUCAUGUCGGUUAUAACCAACAAUAAUGAAAAUGUUUAUGUCGAUUUUUAUUAAAAAAAUGUUUCUGUCAGUUUUAACCGACAUUAAUGAAAAUAUUCCACAGUAAAACCCCUACUUCUUCUCCUUGUGCUGGUGCCUUCUCCCUUCCCCCUUCUUUCCCCCUUUUCUCUUCUCCUCAUUUCCUUUUCCUUUGUAUUUUUGAUUUUGACAAGGUCUCUCCUUUAUUUGAUUCUUUGUUGUUCAUCUCUCACAAAUGUAGAGAGAGUAAAGGAGAUGCUUAGAGCGCUUUCUUUGUUCCUUUUUUUUUUCUUUUCAUUUUUUCCCUUUUCAAACUCCGACUAUGUCUUACAUGGCCGGUCCCAAGCCCGGAUAAAGGAGGAGGGGGAGGGCGUCAGGUAGUCGACAGCCGGCACUCCAUGAUCACGUCGAAUCCUUAUGAAAAUGAAUCCAGAACAAAAUCGCGCUAAAGCUAGGGCGCCACCCGUAAGUGGCGCGCUGUGUGGCCCGAGCACAGUGAUAAGUGAGCAAGGGUCGCUGUAUCUCCAUCGGCACUCGGAUGCAGUGUUAAAUGAGCAAGGGGGCCAUAGAAACUUCUUUUCGAACGACUCCACUCAAAGUUGUUUGGGAGCAUAUGCUCCUAUCAACUUUACCCGGGACACACAAAAGAAGUACUUUGAUCCUAUUAGACGGGGGAGGGUGAAGAAGCUAGGACAGAAGGGUAGAGUUCAAGAGAGCAAAAUGCGUUUAGGAACGUGGAAUAUAGGAACCUUAACGGGAAAAUCUAUGGAAGUAGUGGAAGUUAUGGUGAGGAGAAGGAUAAAUAUUAUGUGCCUACAAGAAACUAAGUGGGUUGGUAGUAAGGCAAAGGAUCUAGAAAACUCAGGGUUUAAACUUUGGUAUUCGGGCACAAAUAGAACGAGAAACGGUGUUGGCAUCAUCGUGGACAAGACCUUGGUACAAGAUGUUGUAGAUGUCAAGAGUGUAGGAGAUAGAAUCAUGGCAAUCAAGAUUGUAAUAGGACAAGAACUUAUCAAUGUGAUUAAUGCGUACGCACCUCAAGUAGGGUUGGAUACGAGUUCGAAGGAGAAAUUUUGGGAAGAUCUUGGAGACUUGGUGCAAGGAAUUGCUCAGACGGAGAAGUUAUUUAUAGGAGGAGAUUUAAAUGGACACGUGGGCAGGGAGACAGGCAACUAUGGAGGUUUUCAUGGUGGCCAUGGUUUUGGGGAGAGAAACGAGGAUGGGGAAGCUAUCUUGGAUUUUACAAUGGCAUAUGAUCUCUUCUUAGCCAACACCUUCUUUAAGAAGAGAGAAGAACAUGUGAUCACCUACAAGAGUGGGUCGUCAAAAACACAAAUAGAUUUUCUUCUAAUGAGGAAAGGGGAUCGUAUAACUUGUAAGGAUUGCAAAGUUAUACCAGGAGAGAGCGUGGCUAAUCAACAUCGCUUGUUGGUGAUGGAUGUACAUAUCAAAAGAGUAAGACAAAAGAACAAGACUUGGAAGUGCCCAAGGACUAGAUGGUGGAAUCUAAAAGAAGAAAAACAAGUCAUUUUCAAAGAGAAGGUAAUCACCCAAUGUGUGUGGGAUAGAGAGGGGGAAGCUAGCCAAAUGUGGGAUUUCAUGGCUAGUUGUAUCCGAAAAGUAGCAAAAGAGGUAUUAGGAGAGUCUAAGGGCUUUGCCCCACACUAAAAGGAAUCUUGGUGGUGGAAUGAGGAGGUACAAACAAAGGUGAAGGCUAAGAAGGAAUGUUGUAAAGCCUUAUACAAGGAGAGGACCGAUGAAAAUGGUGAAAGGUAUAGAAAAAAAGCGAAGCAAGAGGCGAAGAAAGCUGUCAGAGAAGCUAAGUUAGCGGCUUACGACGAUAUGUAUAAACGACUAGAUACCAAAGAAGGAGAGUUGGAUAUCUAUAAACUAUCUAGAGCAAAGGAAAAGAAGACAAGGGACCUAAACCAAGUGAGGUGCAUCAAGGAUGAGGAUGGAAAGGUUCUUGCUACAGAGAACGCGGUUAAAGACAGAUGGAGAGGUUAUUUUCAUAAUCUUUUCAAUGAAGGACAUGAAAUGAGUGCUUCUUUAGGGGAGUUGAGUAACUCAGAAGAGUGUAGAAACUACUCUUUUUAUCGUCGAAUCCGGAAGGAAGAAGUGGUUGUAGCUUUGAAGAAGAUGAAGCAUAAAAAAGCAAUAGGCCCAGACAAUAUACCAAUCGAAGUGUGGAAACUUUUGGGAGAGACAGGUAUAACAUGGCUCACUGACCUUUUCAAUAGGAUUUUGAAAACGAAAAAGAUGCCAAAUGAGUGGCGAACGAGCACUUUGGUGCCUAUCUACAAGAAUAAGGGCGACGUACAAAAUUGCAUGAACUAUAGGGGUAUUAAGCUAAUGAGUCAUACAAUGAAGCUCUGGGAGAGAGUCAUUGAGCAUAGAUUGAGGCAAGAGACACGGGUUUCGGACAACCAAUUCGGGUUCAUGCCAGGGCGCUCAACCAUGGAGGCAAUCUAUCUCUUACGAAGAUUGAUGGAAAGAUAUAGAGAUGGGAAAAAUGAUUUACACAUGGUCUUUAUAGAUUUGGAAAAAGCGUAUGAUAGGGUCCCAAGAGACAUUCUUUGGAGGAUUUUAAAGAAGAAAGGAGUACGAGUAGCAUAUAUCCAAGCUAUAAAGGACAUGUAUGAAGAAGCAAAGACUGCCGUAAGAACUCAUGAAGGACAAACCGAAAGCUUUCCCAUAACUGUAGGAUUACAUCAAGGCUCAUCCUUAAGUCCUUACCUUUUUGCGUUGGUAAUGGAUGAGUUAACAGGACAUAUUCAAGAUGAUAUUCCUUGGUGUAUGCUUUUCGCAGACGAUAUAGUGUUGAUAGAUGAAACUCAGGAAGGGGUAAAUGCAAAGCUUAACCUUUGGAGAGAAGUGUUGGAAUCUAAAGGUCUUCGCCUAAGCCGAUCAAAGACAGAAUAUAUGGAGUGCAAGUUCAGUGCAAAUGGAGGCCAAAACGAGUUAGGGGUGAGGAUCGGAGAUCAAGAAAUACCAAAGAGUGACCGUUUUCGUUACCUAGGAUCUAUCUUGCAAAAGAACGGAGAAUUAGAUGGAGAUCUCAACCAUAGAAUACAAGCUGGAUGGAUGAAGUGGAAGAGUGCAUCUGACGUGUUGUGUGACCGUCGUAUGCCACUGAAGCUCAAAGGAAAAUUUUAUAGGACGGCAAUAAGGUCGGCGAUGAUUCAACUUGGCGGGUUCGAGCAAAUAGGCGUUGGGCCAUAUUAGACACAGAACCUGCACACUGAACACUGAGAGCUAGCGAAUCCUUAACAGCUAACUCAUCAGACCGUUUGGAAAGUAGUCUGUUAUCUUUGGGAGUGAGAAGGUUCCUGGCCACCACCGCAGCGGUCAUAUCAUUCUUCAUCACGGAAUCCCCAACGGUAAGAGGACCAGUAGGGGAGACAAAGGAUGGGCGCCAUAUGUUGUCUGGAGAAGGCGGGGCUGCCUCUUCAACAAGGUUCAAGUCAAAAAACGACGGUCGGAGGGCCAGACAUUUUCAAAGGUGUUGAAGAGAGAAGAGGUCGGACACAAAUCAAGAUCUUAGAAGUGCAAGAAUGAAGCUUCUACUGGUGGAGAUUCAAGUGUGCUUUGGAACUUAAUGCCAGCCCCUAUAAAAAUCUGCACUCGACGGAGCUUCAGAAAUCGAAGAGGCGUUUGCUUUCUCAAAAGCUGGGCUGCUUAGAGAUCACGAGGGUUGAUCUCAGGAAUCGAAGAGGCGUUUGCUUUCUCAAAAGUUGGGCUGCUCAAAGACCACGAAGGCCGAUCUCAGAAAUCGAAGAGGCGCUCACUUUCUCAAAAACUGGGCUCCCCAGAGACCACGAGGGCCGAUCUCAAAAAUCGAAGAGGCACCUACUUUUCCAGCCUUGUCAGCACCUGUCACACGCACACUCAGCUUUGCGGAAAUUAUGGGCAUUCUGUCGAAGACUUCUGGGGAAGUAGAAAACACAUGAAUCUUACUGUUCAAUCACCCACUUCCCACACGCAAUAAUAGCUCAUGGGUACCACAGAUAACUUUGCCAAAGUUCUCUGCCAAAGUUGAGCACGUGAAGCUUGCAGCUCCCACUACAUCGCUCUGACCAAGAAGGGUAAAAAGAAUAGCAAAGAAACAGCACUAACAAAGUUUAGACCCAUAAAUUUUGAAGGUCUAGCUACCAUAUUAUUACCCACAAGGGUAAAGGAACAGUACCACUGCUGGAUAAUUGGAAAGUCCCUAUGUGUCAACCUCUGUGCUUCGUGGCAAGGUAGACUAGCAAACAUGCCCAACCUUUACUCACAUUCGAGAAAACACUCCCAAUAAGAUUGCUUGCUCCAAAAUCGAAGAGGCACCGUCCUCCGAAUCUCGAGAGCCAGACUCCCAACAUGACUACUUUCUUAAAAAUCGAAGAGAGGGUAAAGGAACAGUACCAUUGCUGGAUAAUUGGAAAGUCCAUGUGUGUCAACCUCUGUGCUUCGUGGCAAGGUAGACUAGCAAACAUGCCCAACCUUUACUCACAUUCGAGAAAACACUCCCAACAAGAUUGCUUGCUCCAAAAUCGAAGAGGCACCGCCCUCCGAAUCUCGAGAGCCAGACUCCCAACAUGAUUACUUUCUCAAAAAUCGAAAGAGACACUGCUCCCCGAAUCUUCGAGAGCCAGACCCCCAGCAUGAUUGCUUUCUCAAAAAUCGAUGAGGCAUCGUUCUCCGAAUCAAUCGAAGAGGCGCUCGCUUUCUCAAAAGCUGGGCUGCUCAGAGACCACGAGGGCCGAUCUCAGAAAUCGAAGAGGCACUUACUUUUCUAGCCUUGUCAGCACCUGUCACACGCACACUCAGCUUUGCAGAAAUUAUGGGCAUUCUGUCGAAGACUUCUGGUGAAGUAGAAAGCACAUUAAUCCUACUGUUCAAUCACCCACUUCCCACACGCAACAAUAGCUCAUGGGUACCACAGAUAACUUUGCCAAAGUUCUCUGCCAAAGUUGAGCACGUGAAGCUUGCAGCUCCCACUACAUCGCUCUGACCAAGAAAGGUAAAAGAAUAGCAAAGAAACAGCACUAACAAAGUUUAGACACAUAAAUUUUGAAGGUCUAGCUACCAUAUUAUUACCCACAAGGGUAAAGGAACAGUACCACUGCUGGAUAAUUGGAAAGUCCCUGUGUGUCAACCUAUGUGCUUCGUGGCAAGGUAGACUAGCAAACAUGCCCAACCUUUACUCACAUUCGAGAAAACACUCCCAACAAGAUUGCUUGCUCCAAAAUCGAAGAGGCACUGUCCUCCGAAUCUCGAGAGCCAGACUCCCAACAUGACUACUUUCUCAAAAGCGAAGAGAGGGUAAAGGAACAGUACCAUUGCUGGAUAAUUGGAAAGUCCCUGUGUGUCAACCUUUGUGCUUCAUGGCAAGGUAGACUAGCAAACAUGCCCAACCUUUACUCACAUUCGAGACAACACUCCCAACAGGAUUGCUUGCUCCAAAAUCAAGAGGCACCGCCCUCCGAAUCUCGAGAGCCAAACUCCCAACAUGAUUACUUCCUCAAAAAUCGAAGAGACACUGCUCUCCGAAUCUCGAGAGCCAGACCCCCAGCAUGAUUGCUUUCUCAAAAAUCGAAAAGGCAUCGUUCUCCGAAUCUCGAGAGCCAGAUACCACAGACCACUUUUUCAAAGUGCUCUGACAGAGUUAAAACAUGUGAAACUGGCAGCUCCCACUACCGUGCUAUGACCAAGCAGGGUAAAGGAAUAGCAUUACUACUUGUUGUUAGGGAGACUCCUAUAUAUGUCGACCUCCAUCCCCAACGGACAGGCAGACCUGCAAAAAUGCUCAACCCUUCAUCAUAUCUGAGUGGGCACUCCCAACGAAGCCUUUCGAAAUAUUCAGCUUUCUUUCCCCCCGAUAAUACCUCUGCAAACAAGCUAUACUAGAGCAAGAAUAUCUCAUAUCAUCAGGGUUAAAAGCAAGAGUAUCCCAUAUCAUGCUUUUUCCCUGUCUUUUCCUUUGGCCUUGUUUUUACCUGCAAGACAAGGAGAAAGAGAGCAAUCAGUCAGCACUUGGAAUCAAGCUUCCAACCAGGAAAUGACUGCCUGGAACCCCUUACUUGGCAUUGCUCUCGAGUACUCAUCUUCAACAUCUUAUGUUUCCAGGGAAGAUUCUGCAUCUGCUUGAGGAACAGAUAGGGCAAGUGCGAAGGAUACAAGGAAGCAUGCGGAGACAAGCGUAACAGCACACGUGCCGAUACAUCCAUUACUCUGUCAAAAGCAAAAGUAUCCCAUAUCAGCAGGGUGGAACGUACUCUAGAUUUGAUGGACUUGUUUUGACCCUCAAAUUCUUCAGUCGGCCUUAUAUUCUGGAGGAAACCAGAAAACCCUCCAGCUCAGUUCAAGAAUAAGCCUGUGGAAAGUUACUUCUUCAAAAGCAAAAGUAUCUCAUAUCAUCUCUUCUCAUUUUUCUUCUCUCUUUAUCCUUCAUGCUGCUGCAAGAUGGGGAGAAGGUGAACAAUCAGUCGGAGCUCUGAUUGCUUACCUUGUCUGUCACCUCUUUCAGCAGACCCCCUAGCUCGGCGACUUGGGGGACUCCUACUAAAUGGUUUGUAUCGCGCUUGACCAAGCCUGAAACUACAAGUAAGCUUCAAGUGAAAUUGAUACAUUACCUUGUGCAUCUCCACCAGUUAAAGAUACCACCCCUGGAUGGAGGAAGAGUACUUCCAGAGAAGAUGCCACAUCUACCUAUGAGACAGAUAAGGCAAGUCAAGACGACACCACACUCCGAUACUUAGAAGUUUCGUGAUUAUGAGAUCAUUCUCCCACAAUAUUUCCUAAUGUCAUUUGUACUAAAUCAUUCACUUGUACUCACUAAAGGAGAGCUUGAACCUAUGUACUUGUGUAAACCCUUCACAAUUAAUGAGAACUCUUCUAUUCCGUGGACGUAGCCAAUCUGGGUGAACCACGUACAUCUUGUGUUUGCUUUCCUAUCUCUAUCCAUUUAUAUACUUAUCCACACUAAUGACCGGAGCAAUCUAGCGAAGAUCACAAAAAGCGACCGUUUUCGCUACCUAGGAUCUAUCUUGCAAGAGAACGGAGAAUUAGAUGGAGAUCUCAACCAUAGAAUACGAGCUGGAUGGAUGAAGUGUAAGAGUGCAUCCGGCGUGUUGUGUGACUAUCGUAGGCCACUGAAGCUCAAAGGAAAAUUUUAUAGGACGGCAAUAAGGCCAGCGAUGUUGUAUGGCACAGAAUGUUGGGCGGUGAAGCAUCAACACGUACACAAAAUGGGUGUAGCGGAGAUGAGGAUGCUUCGUGGGAUGUGUGGGCACACGAGAAAGGAUAAGAUUGGGAAUGAGGAUAUCCGAGGUAAAGUAGGAGUAGCCGAAAUUGUAGGAAAGAUGAGAGAAAAUCGGCUCCGGUGAUUUGGACAUGUGCAAAGAAGGCCGACUGACGCUCCGAUUCGAAGAUGUGACUACGGGACAGAGGUUCAGGGCCGAAGGGGUAGAGGAAGACCUAGGAAAACUUUGGAAGAGACUCUAAGAAAAGACUUAGAGUACUUGGAUCUAACGGAGGACAUGACACAAAACCGAGCGCAAUGGCGUUCUAGGAUUCAUAUAGCCGACCCCACUUAGUGGGAAAAGGCUUUGUUGUUGUUGUUGUUGUUGUAUUUUUUCCCUUUUCAAAAUCGAAAUGUUCUAAAUUAUUUCACUAAUCCUUGCUAGUUUGAACUGCAGGAGUCUGUCUCUGGAUUUGAAAGAUUAUCUGGACUUACAGUUUUGAAGAAUUGGGAUUCUAGUGUUACACAUAUUAUUGCAUCGACAGAUGAAAAUGAAGCAUGCAGAAGAACCCUUAAAAUUUUGAUGGGUAUCUUGGAGGGGAAGUGGAUUCUGAGUGUGGAGUGAGUUUUACUGUUUUCGUUUUAAUUGUUCUUCCUCAAGUGCUUGGACUUUACAAUUGUAAUGAGUACAGAAGCCGAAAUGAGAUAUUGAUAUACAUGUUCACAUUGCUGAUAAUUCGUUAUCCGUCUGUUUGUGUAGGAAUUAAUGCUUGCACAUAAGUAAUGAAACUAGUUAAUGAGGAGCCUUAUGAAAUCAACGUUGACAUUUAUGGAAUCAGGGAUGGUCCUCGACUUGGUAGACUAAGGCUGCAGAACAAGGUUAGCUUUUCCUCGAGUUUAACUAUCAUCACGAAAACUUUAGAUUUUCAUGGAUUCACCAUAGGCAUUGUUAAUCUUGUUCAGUCCAUAAAUAGGUUACACACUUAUCUUAACAAAGGUGAGACCUUCUCAAUUCCUCAUCGAGAUGAAUCAAGAGCAUAAUUGUAGCAGUGAUCAAGAGCAAUUUUUUUAUGUUUCUUCCAAAUUGUUGAGAUGAAUCAUCUGUGUUUUGUUCUAAUAAUCUUACAAAUUUGUUGAGCAAUUUUUGUAAAGUCAGAAUCUUUGGUUUCGGUUGUGAGGUAUCUGAUUUGGGUAUAUGUGUUUUGCAGGGCACGGUGGUUGUGGCGGAGGAAGAUUAGGAUUGACGACAGAGCUCUGGCCAUGAACUAUCAGCUCUGUCUUUCUCUCUCUAACUAUGAAUUGAAUACAAAAGUCUGUGUUGAUAUGGAAAAUGUAGCUCAAAAUUAUUACACAAAUGGCAAAAAAAAAAAGUUCGAGUGUGGAGUUUCACUUACUGAUACAGGGCUUUUGAAACAGGGUUGUCUAGACUGUAGAAGAAAUCCAUGGCUUUUGGAAGAGGGGAUGUUCCAAAUCUAUCUUUUCUCCCUCUCUAAUGUUCUUCGAGGGGUUCUUGUGAUGCAAAAAGUGGUUUAUAUAUAUUUUUUAUUAUUAAUAAAUUUUCUGUCGGUUUUAUCAGACAAUAAUUCUUUUAUUUAUUCUUAUUAAUAAUUUCUCUGUCGGUUAUAUCUGACACAAUUUCUGUCGAUUUUAGAGUAUUUUCUAUCGAAAAUUUCAUUUCCUGACGCAUCAAUUAUGUCGCUUAUUAUAUCCGCCACUGCACUCAUUUCAUGUCGGAUUUUGCUUAAUUUCCAACAGUAUUAUACAUUUCUUGUCGGUUUUUAAACCGACACUAAUGGGUACUUUUGUAGUAAUGUUGGGGCGUCGGAGUUCGUUUAAGGUCGAAUUGAGCACACCCAAAUUCAAGGGUUCCGUACGGUUCAUGGUAAUUUGAGGUAUUUCUCAGCCAAAUUGUCCUUAGUCACAGAUAUGAAAGUUGCUCCACUCGUUGAGAUCUUCAUUUAUGUCAAAUUUGAGAAUUUUUAGAAAUAAUUGGAUUUUCCAGCGAAUCGGGGCGGCGGACCACCACCGGACAGCGCAUGGCUAGUGGGCCCCCAAUGUCAUUUUACGUUAAAUUGGUAUCUUGAUUUUAGGUUUGAUGUCUAUAUGUUAUGACUUGAUAUGUGAACCUAGUUUAAUUAAGGUGCGUUAAUUGGUAAAAAUAUGAAACGACGAUCCGACCGUGGGAUCGUCACCAAUCUUUAUUAUGUUAUAGUACAUUAUAUUUGAGAAUCAUAGGGACUGACGGAUAGGAAAUCCGAUAUACGGAUCUUCCUGAAAUGGAAUUGUAAGUUCGAAGAAUAAACGUUAACCGCCACUUUGUUUUGACUAUUGGUGAAGAUCCAACCGUUGGAUCAUAAUGAAAUUUUAGGAUGAUGUUUUAGAAGCAUAAUGUGGAUCUUUGGAAGUUAUUGAUUGGAAAUCCGAGGAGCGAAUCUUCCGGAUUGAAUUACGUAAGGUUGUGGACCCUACCGUCGAUCGUUGACUGACGAUCGACUUUUGGUCAAUGGGGCUUAAAUCACUCUAAAAUGUUUUUAGGGAUGUGUUUUACGUAAAUUACAUUAUCUAUGGAUAAGAAUUCUGAGAUGUGGUUUGAUAAUUGUCCUGGGCGCCGAUCGUUAGGAACGCUUCGAUGGUUGUGCUAGGAAAUUGUAGCAUAGACUCCAGGUGAGUGAAUCUUUUCCUUCUUAUAUAUAUAUAUAUAUAUAUAUGAUUGACAAUUCCACAAACGUUUAUAAAUUGAUUAUUGCAUAUAACUACUGUAAAUACUUUGAAGUACUUAUGCGAACUACGAAUGGCUUGAUCCCUAUUUAGGGUACGUAUGCAGUCUAACAAGACAUUAAAUGCAGUCAUACAAUAAUUGAGAUUAAACAAUUGAGACAAAGCCUUGUAUGGGGAACUGGGCAAGGUGAACGAAUUUGGUAAAAAUGUGAGAUUUAACCUUCUGAAUUGGUGAUUAAAUGUUGGUCAUAAAUCAAUGUGUAAAGAAUCAAGAAUUUGAAGUAAGGAAACGUAAGUAAUGAUAAUUAAUUAAACUAGUGUCUAGUUGGGCUUGUCACCUAUAAUUAUCCCCAAAAAUGAAUAAUUCGGGAGUAGGGCGUUAUAGCUUCUGCAUUUUUAUGCCACAUUAUAUAUAUAUAUAUAUGUGUGUGUGUGUGUGUGUGUGUGUGUGUGUGUAUAAUUGGAAAUGCUAUAACGUGGUUGAGUAUCAGAUUUCAUCAUGGUUUAUCUAUAUGUAUAUUACCUGCACACAAUUAUUAUGAACACUUUGAAGUGCAAAGGUGAACGCAAGACACCCAGGAAAGUUCAGGUGAGUUUAUGGUAUUAGUUGAAAUGAUGGGGUUAUGGUAACUACAUGUAUGUUUAGGUUGCAAUGAUAGGCAACUCCGACACUGUCGUACAAGUUGCCCAUGAAUUGUAUAUGUUACAAUAGAUAGAGUUAGAGGUCAUAAACCUGCACCCCGGUGUUAGUGCUCCCACCCGUGGCUAGGGCACAGUCUUUCACGAGAUGUUCACCUCUCGCAUCUUACGCUCACCUUGGAUCCAAGGUAGGUGCACAGUCAUGUCAUAAAGACCACUAUAGGUGGUUCCGACUAGUAGAUGACCCGUGAUUAUUCGCACAGUCUUCACGUGAUUGUAGCACUUGAGCGUAUUUAUUUACACCCAGUCCUGUCGUACAGACCACUUUAGGUGGUUCCGACUCGUAUGCAGGUAUACUUAUUGAGCUAUGGAUAAGUCGUACAGGUCACUAAAGGUGACUCCAACUUAUGAGCUAGCAUAUGUGAUGAAAUAUGUGAUGAGCUAGCAUAUGUAAUGAGAUAAGUGAUGAGCUAGCAUAUGUGAUGAGAUAUGUGAUGAGUUAGCAUACGUUAUGAGAUAUGUGAUGAGUGAUAUAAUCAUAAUUGCAUACAUUUUCAUGCCCUUUUAGUUUAGAUUUUUGUUAUCCUUUUGAGUGAAUUUAGUUUGUUUCACUUAGUUUUAUGUUUUUCUUAGAUUUGAAGUGUGAAGAUGAAGAAAGAAGAAAAAAGAGCAUUUUUAGCGAUUGAAAUGAGUUUGGCAUGCUGGAAGCAGAGGCUAUUUGUGCGGAUCAGCCAACUUUACGGAUUAAACUGUACUUCCUUAGAAUGCCAGCUGUUGAGUCUUAUACCAUUGGAAAGAUAUGAAAGUUAGCUUUCAGAGGAAUUUUACGAUUCGUGAUUCCGAGUUUCCUAGAAGACGUUAUAGUGGUUUUUCUACCAGAUGUCUGCCAGCAAGGUUUUACGCGGGAUUUGCAAAGAGAUUCCAGAUUUACAAAGUUUAAUUAAAGGAAACAAGCAGAGAAAAAAGAAGAGGAAGCUUUUAGAAAAGUUCAGGACUAUUCUAAACGGUGCAUAGUUAAUAUAUUUAAUAGUUUAGUGUGCCACAUCAUCAAUAAACUAAUCUAAGUCAGAAGAGAAAUUCAAGAGUCCCAUUCAAGUAAGUAUUCCAGCAGUUUUAUUCAGGAAUAAAGGAGGGCAGACCGUCGGACUUUAGGAGCGGACAGAGAGAGUUUUUGGGUUUUCGAAGGUGCAGAGAAGAGGUCGCAGCAAGGAGUGAAACAGAGUCGCCGAUCAUCUGGGCAAUCCAUCACCAUCGUGUGGAAGUAUUUUAUGUUUUUCAGAUUUUUAAUUAUGUUUUCAGAUUUUAUGAGUAACUAAACUCUUUUUCUAAGGUUAGGAUGAUGCCCUAGCAUGGAUGUUUAUGGUUUGUAAUGUUAUUCAUUGGAUUUCCAGUUUCUUUUAGAUGAAUGCUUAAUCACUGUUUGAAUUGUUACUGUUUGUUUGAGUUCUUUGAUUGAUCACCUUAGGACUUUGCAUCUAGUAAGAUUGGAAGAUGAAUUUGAGACUGAACUAACAAUAUAAUUCAAUUAGCUUCUUGUGGUUAAGUGUGGUAAAUUACAUUAUUGCUUGAAAAAGAAUAAUGGUUUGUUUGGGUCCCUUGUUUUCUAGAGGGUAAAGAGUCCUACUUGUUAAAUUUAUGCCUUAACUAGGAUAGACUGCUUGUUAGGAUAUACGACCUCUGCCUAAACUAGGAGAGAAUCAUUCACAUAAGGAAAACUAUGGUCUAAUAUGCCUGACAAGGACUUAGAUACGGGAAUUAUCAUCUAAAGAAUUGAAAGAUCCAUUGAAUGCAUUGAAACCUAAACUAGAUUGCUUGUGGUUGAUUCCGAAUCCCUAGAUUUUCAUCACUUGCCUUAAAACACAACCGUUUCUUUUCUUUAAUUUCAGUUUUUACUUAAGGUUCUGUUUUUGUUCAUUUAUAAAAUCAUCACAACAAAUUUUUUACAUCUUUGAUUGACUUAUUAAUUAAGAUCGAGUCUAGUUCGUUGUUUGGGUUUGUGUGUCUUUAAUAUAAUUAGAUUUGGUUUAGUUUAUCAAAUUGGAGAUUGAAUUAGAAUCCUCGUGGGAACGAUACUUGGACUUGCAAAACGUUAUAUUACGACUAUCUUGUGCACUUGUAAGUUUACACCAAGUUUUUGGCGCCGUUGCCGGGGACUCUAAUUGAGUCCCCCAAUUUGAUAUCAUAUUCCAUAUCUAAUAAGUAGUUUAUUGUAGAUUAUUCAAUUUGAUUUUGUUUUGUUCUCUAGUUUCGAGUAAGAGUCAUAACUAUUAAGAUAAGUAAAAGUAAUUUUCGUCACUGUUUUAUUUCAGUUUUGUAUCACUGUUUCGACACAGUUUUGGACUAAACUAUUCGAUUUUUUACCAGGAAUAUUGUGUAUCGUUGGAAAGCCCCAGAAGUCUAGUUUUCAACCCAAAAAACAGAUCAAUGAUUGGAUUUUUGAGCUGCAAGAAAUGUACAAAAUACUGAGCAGUGGUCAAACAAGGAGCACAGUCUGGUCGUAUAUGCAAGGUAGACGUUCGUUGCAAUUUGAGUUGAUUCAUAUAGACCAAGAACUUGUGCGUACUUUAAGAGAACAGUGGAGGCAGCGAGUGUGUCAAGAACCAGCCAUGGAGGAAGUAGUUAAUAAUGGUGGAAAUAAUCCUCCACCAUUGCUACCACCACAACCAAGGCUCAUGCGUGAUUAUACAAAGCCAACGGAGUACAACGCACCGUCAUGCAUUGUUUUGGCUCCAAUUGCGCAGCGAUUUGAGAUUCGUCCACAAAUCUUUCAGUUGCUGCCUAUAUUUCUUGGGAAGGAGGAAGAAAAUCCAUACCAUCAUAUCAAGGCGUUUUUCAAGCUAUGUUCCACAUUCACAUUCACCAAUGUUACUGAAGAGCAAAUUCGACUUCGGUUAUUCCCAUUCUCUUUGAGGGAUAAAGCAAGCAGUUGGUUGGAUUCUCUUCCCGAAGCAUCUAUCGACACAUGGACAAAAUUAUCGAAGAAGUUUUUGUCCAAGUUCUUCCCCGCUCGAAGAACCAAUGCUCUGAUCAAUGAAAUCAUGAGCUUUCGACAACAAGAAGGUGAACAGUUUCAUGAAAGUUGGGAGCGCUAUAAGGACUUGUUUCUUCAAUGUCCUCAUCAUGGUUUCAACACUUGGCAAAAGGUUCAUUAUUUUUACAAAGGUUUGAACUCUCAAUGUAGGAGUUUGGUUGAUUCAACGGUUGGUGGAACCUUGAUAGACAAAACUCCAGAAGAUGCCAUACAUGCCUUUGAAACUAUAUGUGAAAAUUCUGAGCAUUGGGAUUUUCCUACAAAAGAUUUGAGAGUUCCAACUGCAUCGUCAACAAAAAAAGGAGGCAUUUAUGAAGUUAAUACAAGGACGGGCUUAGAGGCACAAGUGGCAGCCCUCACCAAGCUUCUCACACCACUUGUAAGCAAGAUAGCCACGCAGCCAUGUACUUUAUGUGCGAGCAUCGCCCAUGACAUGGAAAAUUGUCCAACAAAUGCUAAUCUAGAAGGCAUCCAAGAGGUCAAUGCAUUUAGUGGGAGGCCCCGGAAUGAUCCAUAUUCUAAUAAUUAUAACCCGGGAUGGAGAGAACAUCCAAAUUUUUCUUAGAGAGAUUCACAAAAUAGCAUGGGAUCAUUCACUUCAACAAAGCAAUAUCAGCAACCUUAUCAAGCUCCUCCAAUUCAACAAAAAGACUCGUCUAUCAAGGAUAUGUUAUCUCAACUCUUAAAGAAAACUGAUCGGUAUGAACAUGAAGUUGUGUCGCUUAGACAAAGUCAGACGGUGUUGGAAAAGGCUCGAUCUAAUUUUGAGACUCAGUUGGGACAGAUAGCUACUACUUUGAACAAGCUGGAGUGAGCACAAGGGCAAUUUCCAAGCCAAACUGAAACAAAUCCUAGGAAUCAAAAGCAUGUUCAAGCUGUCACCACUUUGAGGAGUGGAAAGACGAUUGGUAAUAAUGUGGAAAGUUCAAAAAUUAAUAAGGAAGAAGAUGAAGGGGUCAGCACAUAUCGGGCAGCAGCUUGACAAGACAAGCUAAAAAAGAGAAGUAUAUGGGAGAUAUUUUAGAGCAAUUUAGAAAGGUGCAGAUUAAUAUUCCUUUUCUCGAUGCCAUCAAACAAAUUCAAUCAUAUGCGAAGUUUUUGAAGGAACUUUGUACUAACAAGAGACGGUAUGAAGAACAUGAGGAGGUGAAGUUAUCAGACACGGUUAGUGCGGUUCUUCAAAGAAAAUUGCCACCAAAACUUCAAGAUCCUGGUAGCUUUACAGUCCCAUGUGUCAUUGGAGAAAGAAAAUUCGAAAAAGCUUUGCUUGACUUGGGAGCCAGUGUGAAUUUGAUGCCCUAUUCUGCUUAUAAACACCUCAAAUUAGGCGAACUAAAGCACAUAUCCAUUUCUCUACAAUGCACUGAUCGUUCUGUGAAAUAUCCAAGAGGGAUUGUUGAAAAUGUACUUGUGUGUGUUGAUCAAUUUAUUCUUCCUGCUGACUUCAUCAUUUUGGACAUGGAAGAAGCCGAAAUUCCUGGUCGUGACUUGCCUCUCAUUCUUGGCAGACCUUUCAUGGCUACUGCAGGUACGAAGAUUGAUGUUAAAUCGGGAUUAUUAACUAUGACUGUGCAAGGUAUUACUGUAGAAUUUCAGGUCUUCGAAGCAUUGAAGAAGCCCAUGGAUCUUUAUGACUGCUUUCGUGUUGAGGUAGUGGAUCCAAUUAUAAAAAAAAACAUUCAUUGAAUCAAGCAUCUCAGAUCCUCUGGAAGUUUGUAUCUCUCAACAUGGGAUGAGUUUUGAAAAGGCUACCAUCAUUGAAGCAGAACGAGAUCUCAAUGCCGUAACGUCCUACUCUCUUAGAUGCCAGCCCAAAUUUGAAGCGUUGCCACUCACAAGCCAAAAUUGUACCAUCCAUUAUACAACCUCCAAAGCUUGAAUUGAAGCCUCUUCCAGAGACUUUAAAGUAUGCAUAUUUGGUGAUUCAGAGACUCUUCCUGUGAUUAUAGCUGCUGAUCUUAACCAAACAGAAGAGGAAAAGUUGAUGCAAAUGUUGAGGGAGCAUAAAACAGCAUUGGGAUGGAGUAUUGCAGACAUAAAAGGAAUUAGUCCUCAAUUUGCAUGCAUCGGAUAUAUCUUGAGGACAAGUCAAAGCCUUCUAGAGAGGCACAGCGACGUCUAAAUCCACAUAUGCAAGAAGUGGUUCGGGCAGAAGUUCUUAAAUUACUGAAUGUCGGCAUUAUUUAUCCUAUAUCUAACAGCAAAUGGGUAAGUCCACUGCAGGUUGUACCACAGAGAUCUGGAAUUACAGUUGUCAAGAAUGAAAAUAAUGAGCUUAUACCCCAGAGGACUGUCACGGGUUGGAGAAUGUGUACAGAUUACAGAAAGAUCAAUAAUUCAACUCGAAAAUAUCAUUUUCCACUCCCUUUCCUUGAUCUCAUGCUUGAGAGACUUGCAGGCCAUAGUUAUUAUUGUUUUCUUGAUGGCUAUUCCAGAUAUAAUCAAAUUCCCAUAGCUCCGGAAGAUCAAGAAAAGACUACUUUCACAUGUCCAUUUGGAACUUUUGCCUAUCGACGAAUGCCUUUUGGGUUAUGUAAUGCUCCCGCAACAUUCCAAAGAUGCAUGAUGAGCAUUUUCUCAAACUUGGUGGAAAGGUGUAUCGAAGUGUUCGUGGAUGAUUUUUCCGUGUUUGGGUCAUCGUUUGAUCAAUGUCUUCAUCAUCUUUCAUUGGUGCUCUAACGGUGUCAAGAAACCAACUUGAUUUUAAAUUGGGAAAAAUGUCAGUUUAUGGUGAAAAGUGGUAUUGUUCUUGGUCAUGUAAUUUUAGCUGACGGAAUUGAAGUUGAUAAAGCUAAGGUGGAGCUGAUUUCGAAGCUUCCUCCUCCCACUUCUGUAAAAGAAGUUCGAUCCUUUCUCGAGCAUCCAAGUUUUUAUCGCCGAUUUAUUAAAGAUUUCUCGAAAAUCACCAAGCCACUUUGUGAUCUGCUUGCUAAAGAUUCUGUGUUUAAUUUAAAUGGUGAGUGCUUACAAGCUUUUGAGACCCUCAAGAAAGAAUUAACACAAGCCCCAAUCAUAAAAGCUCCAGAGUGGUCUCUUCCUUUUGAAAUCAUGUGUGACGCCUCUGAGUAUGCAAUAGGUGUUGUGUUAGGGCAGCGAGUUAACAAACUUCCUCAUGUUAUAUUUUAUGCUAGCCGAAUUCUCACUUAACAACUUUCAUAUCCCUUAGUUUCCAAAAUUUAAUAUACAAAUUUAGUCUCCCAAGCAUUGCUAUAUUACUUAAGUAUUGAUUAAUAGACUUAUUUCUUAUGGUGACACAUUAUUUAGUUUACAAAUUUAGUCUAUCUAACAUUACUCUUUUGACAUUGUCUUGUCCACUGAUAUAAUUCUAUUUUUCUUGUGAUCAAAACUUCAAAUGUUAGCAAGUCGCACGUAAAGUCGCUUCUGAGAGAAUGUGCUCACAUUGUAGUUGAAAGAUUAUGUGGCUAGCAACAUUACAAAUUUAAUUUGGUAUAAUUUUAAAAUAUAGAUUGAGGAAAAAAAGGAUCACAUUAACUAGAAACUGAAAAGGUUUCGGCGCAAUAUGUUCAAGCAAGAAACUCAAUUUUGAUGCUACCGAUCUUAACAGCCUGAGCGCCGUACCUGGGCACUAAAGUCACCACCACACUCUCAUCAUCUUCAGCACCCAAAUCCUCCAACAGGUCCGUUAACCCCAACCUUAAACAACUCUUGCUCUUUUCCUUCUGCUUAUGUGGCACACUCACAAAACUCCCAGCAAACUCGCUCUUGUCGGGUCCACUCGGUGCCGCAUCCUCAUCAUCCACGUCAUUCACAUACACAUCAAACUUCACAGCCACAUCUUUGUCAAGCUCAAUCCCCCGAAUCACCAAUAUCUCCUCCUCAUCCUCUUUCUCCUUCUUGCUCCUCUUCUUCGGCUUCGGCCUUGACACCACCGUAGUUAUCUUCGUCUCCAAAUUUAUUGGAAAAUCUUUACCCGCCACCACCUUCCCCGAUGACGUCGUCUCAGCGGCCUUCGCCACUCCAGCCGCCUUUGCCUUUCUCGCAAGCUUUGUCCGACGUGGCGUCGGUCUAGAGUUGAGCCAUGGAAUCUCAACAUCUUCAUACGUAUACCCUAGCUUUUUAUUAUCAAGAGUGUCCCUCACCGUGACCCUAACAAGCUCAGCAUUCUCGUCAUAAAACAAAAACCCCGUAUCCAACCAAUCCUUAUCGUUAAUAUCUUUAUUUUUAGUCCCUAUACUUUUCCAAAUAUUCCACAUUCGAUCCAGAUUCAAAUGGUGCGCAAAAAAUAUCGGAUCCCUUGCAGUGGAGUAAAAAUUCCCCAUGUCUUCAUAAUUAGGUUGCGUGUUAUCUCCGGUCCAUGUAUGAACCGGACCAUGUGGGGUCUGUUCGAUUGCACCGGCCCCUGGAUCUGGUUCAGUGCCAGCCCUGUAGGGCGAACCAAAGAACAACAGCGGUUUCUUGGAGUUGGAAACCAUCUGCCUAUACAUGAUUUUGAGGUUGGCUUCGAUUUGAGCAUCCUUGGACAUUGUUUCAUCCGUGCCGUUGAAGUCAAGAUCGAUGAGAGUUGGCGGCUGAUGGCUGGCAGCGCGGAGCUCGUCGUAAAGCGGAGAGUCAGGGUUAGCGUACAAGGCAGGGAGUUGCAUGCCAGCUGGCGCGUCCCAGUUCCAAAACGGCAACGCGAAGGUCGGAUCGUCUAUGAGUUUGGCCAAGAUUCUUUCGUGGAAAUAUAGGUAGUAACGAUGGAAGGGGAAGAAAAGCCAGGAUUGAUGGAUUUGGAGCUCGAGGUUGGGGAAGCCGACUUGGUCGUACGCACCGUUACAAUAGGCACAGUGGACAUCGGCUUGCUGGGUGAAGCUACGCGGAUCGUCGUCCGGGAGGGCUUUCAUGAGCUCGAUGGCUUUUGAGUAUUUUUCGAUGUAGGCUUUAUCCACGGCGUGAGCUGCCGGCCUGACGCGGAGUUUGGUAGGGGAGGGGAAUUUGAAGUCUACGAUUUUUUGGGACGUUGGCGGGCAACAGUUGGUCGGGACUGCUCCACUUGGAAAGUCCGCAGCUCCGCAUUUGGCUAGGUCAGGCGGCGACACUGGCUUUGCAACAGCGAAGGGGUCGCUGCCAAGACCAGCCACUCCACCGUACAGGCUUCCGAGACCUAUAAGUACAUGUCUUCUGUCUAGGUUUACUGGAGAAGGGUUUUCAUGGUCGUGAUCGUUGGAGCUAGUGGAAGGGUUUUUGUUUUGGUCACUACUAUUAUUUGUGGCUUUGCAUGAGACAGCUUGUAAAUUGGAAUGCCUAGGGUUUCCAAAUGAGGAUAUUCGGUGAUACUUUUGGGAGAAAGGAGAGAGAGAAGUUGUGGGGAUGAUACUUGUGGUGGGGGUGACGAGUGGAGCUGACAUAGAAGCCAUGGUUACUUGACUCUGAAUAAUACGUUGUAUGGGCUUUUGCUUUUAUAAUAUGUUCUAGGUUUACUUUUCUUUGCACAGGUGGCAGGCCGUGCACACGUUGUCGAGGAAUAGUACGUAGUCAUUUAGGAGAAAAAUCUAAUUGUGACGGAGGUGACGAGUGGAGCUGACAUAGAAGCCAUGGUUACUUGACUCUGAAUAAUACGUUGUAUUGGCCUUGCUUUUAUAAUAUGUUCUAG